Molecule: long non-coding RNA, 84979 nt
Filed under: Triticum aestivum (bread wheat)
Lineage: Eukaryota; Viridiplantae; Streptophyta; Magnoliopsida; Poales; Poaceae
Description: long non-coding RNA (TAES_LNC015511)
Source: RNAcentral
UAGUAGGAGUGAUCAACAGAUCGAUCGAGCAGCUUGCUAGUGUUCUCAGUUGACAGUUGCUGGAGCUGUGCUUGCGUGUGCUAUAUUUGGUGUUUAGCUUCUCCGAUAUUAUAUUCUGCCUUCCUUCUCUUUGACUUUGUGUUUCGAGACUUGGGUUGCAAAUAGCUCUCGAUCGAUCGAUCCCCGCUUAAUAGAUAAAUAAAUGAAGAGUGCAAUUAAGCUGCUAUAUAUAUGUGUGUGUGUCAGAUUGUGUUUGAUACUUUGAUGCAGCUAGAACUAAUUUUUCAGGUUAUUUCAUGUGAUUCUUUGUUUCUUUAGCUGAUUUGGUGCUGUUUUACUUGAAAUUAGCCGGUCUACCAUUAGAUCUAUAGGUUAACGACCUUGUGUCCAGCUCCAGCAAUUCUGUAUGGUGAAUUAAAUUAUUUAUUAAUGAGUUGCAUUAAUCCAUAGCUAGCUUGAUUUUGCACGCAUAUAUCUUAUUUCUCAACAGUUCCAAAGAGAAUCACAUGAGUUUUUUUCCAGGUGUUGUGCCUAUUUUAUUUUAUAUAGAGAUAGGAAAAGGAGGAAAAGGGUCACAAUGUAUAUGCAUGAGAUUAAUGGAUGAUAAACGGGUCGAUCCAGUCCUAGUAUGAUAUACUCUCAUUAAUUGCACUGUGAUUUCCAAAUCUUUUCUUCCUUAGCAGAAAGAAAAAGUGGCUUUGCAAAAAAGAACAGAAUUAGUUUGAGUAUUUAUGUCUUUUAGUGAAACAUGAAGUGUGCCGUGUGCAUUACAUACCAUUUCCCAAGUUAACGAUGCUGCAUCACAUGUAUAUAUCGGAGAUAUGUAUAUUGGCAUCAUUGGAGUAAUUAAUGCAUUCUAUCUGGACUCUUUAUGCUAUAAUAGUGUCCUUGUUUCUAUAUAGGAAAUGAGAAGGACAAUGGGGCCAAAAAAUAUUUUUGAAACAAAAAAAAUCCAUAUUUUCAUGAAACAAAACCAUGUUUGCCAAACACAUUGUUACUCAAAACCAAUGUUUCAGUUUCACCUGCAUGGAUAUACAUUUAUAAUGUAGCGCACAACAUAGCAUCAGACACAAACAUAACUGUCCGAAUCCGAGUCGGAUUCGGAUGUCUAUUUCGGACAUCAGAGAUUUCCGCAUAUUAGAAGACAAUUGGACUUGGAUAUGUGUGUUGAAUCCAUCGCAGUCCGAGAGAUUGGGUAUGACUGAGUUUGACAUGACAAUUGUAAGUCGGACAUGGAUACAACUGUAAACAUCAGACUUAAUGAUAUUGCUUCACAAUGUAUAUAUAUGUGGGGGAUAUAUUAGCAUCACUAGAGUAAUUAAUGCACUCUAUUUUGACUUUAUAUAUGUUAUAGGAGUCUCAUUGUUUCUAUAUAGGAAAUCAGAAGAACAAAGGGGCCAAGAAAUAUUUUUGAAACAAAAAAAAAUCAUAUUUUCAUGAAACAAAACCAUGUAUGCCGAAUACAAUGUUACUCAAAACCAAUGUUACAUUUUCAGCUGCAUGGAUAUACAUUUAUAGUGCUAGUGCAUUGCACAACAUCAGACACAAACACAACUGUCCGAAUCGGACUCGGAUUCGGAUGUCUAAUUCGACCAUUAGAGAUCUCCGCGUAGCCGAAGACAAUCUGACAUGGAUAUGUGUGUUAAAUCUGUGGCAAUCCUAGAGGAUUGGGUAUGACUGAAAGGUUGACGUGACAAUUAUCAGUCUCACAUGGAUACAAGUGUAACCACCGGACUUAUAUUUAUUUGAUCAUCCGACUUAAUGUUUUUUUAGGGAAGAACCUACCUCAUAAAGCAUCUAUUGGUUAUAUAUAAAUUUAUCCCAUAUAGUUUUUUUGUAAUAAUUACCCAAGAAAAAUUAAGAAUUAUGUCACACUUGCAACUUAAAACAACACAAAAUAAAUAGUUGCUAGCUAUUACAGAAUACUGGUACAGAAAUGCUAGUUAGAGAAUACCCAUGUAACCGUCAACUACCAUUUCCUACACACUAAUCACGUCUAUAGCUAUAUAGUCCUAGUACCACCGAGUUGUGUCAAGCAUCGGGUGCCUUGCAUGGAUAUAAAAACAUAAACCACAGCCCAUGAUGAGGAGGAGGUCAACAUCACAGGCCUUCAUAGGUCCCUUGGAAACGUAAUUAGCUCGAUAAUUGCCAAAUAAAAGAGUGCAAGUUUUAGCAAAAAUGCCAAAUGAAGGCUUUAAUUUUGAAAAUUCAAAUUCAUACUUUGACUUUUCAAAAACUAUUUGAAAAUAGACAUAUAACAAAAGAGACAUUGUACAUGUGUGCAAAUUUUCCUGAUGAAAUAGGUUAAAAUGAGAGCUAAAUGAAAAACAAAUUUGUGGCUUUUCAGCACACGUAUUGUUCCUCCCCAUAAUCCAAUAUUUGUUUUGUGCAACUCACAAUUCAAGAUAUCUCAUCCCAAAAUUUUGCACAUGUAUACAUUACAUCCUUGUGUCCCUGGCCAUAUGUAAAUACAUGUCCAAUGCAAUGAUACCCAGACUAGUGCAACAUUCAUGCAGGAUUCCACAUUUUACAUGCCCAUGUUGAUGAGGGCCCAAUAUUAUAUAAGAUCACAUUGAAUAACCUAUAAGUGCACUAUUGUAAUAUUCCUAGUUUUGUUGAGAAUACAUCAACCCAUUAAAAAAAGAAGUACAAAAAUAUUCUGCAAUGAAAAAGAUUGUGUGCAUCAAUUGAUGCAGUAGCUGAGGGUGUACCUGCCUUUUCAAAAAGGAAAUACCAAAUGGGGGCAGAUUCUGUAUUAGGAAUCAAAUUUCAAUUCAUGUACCGUACCCGGAGUGUUACAAUUUUUUAUGUUUCCAAAAUAGUAUUUCUAGAAUGGCACCUAAAUCCAAAAAGGACCGCAACACUUGAAUGUGUCUCGAUACAAUAUAAUCUUCGUAUUUUUUUAAGGAUGUGUUUCUUCAUAGUGAUGUCAUUCAAAAGACACUGACACGUGCCACGGGGAGGAUGUGGUGAGACUGGGCACUCGGCACCGUAAGAAAAAUAGCCUAUUUGACAAUUGGACUAUUAUCUCGCUAGGCUCGACUCCCUCACAUUUAGUGAANNNNNNNNNNNNNNNNNNNNNNNNNNNNNNNNNNNNNNNNNNNNNNNNNNNNNNNNNNNNNNNNNNNNNNNNNNNNNNNNNNNNNNNNNNNNNNNNNNNNNNNNNNNNNNNNNNNNNNNNNNNNNNNNNNNNNNNNNNNNNNNNNNNNNNNNNNNNNNNNNNNNNNNNNNNNNNNNNNNNNNNNNNNNNNNNNNNNNNNNNNNNNNNNNNNNAAUCCUUGCACCUUGCCAGCAUACCAUUGGUGUUGAAGUUGUGUCGAAAGAUACAUGCCCUAAAGAUGGCAUUCAGACAUGUUGGACGAUGAACCAAAGACCAAGGUCGUUUUGCAAUAAAGCAUUAAAUACAUCAAGCAUUACAUGAUACUAUUUCAGAUCCUGGAAUGCUACUUUAUAAGAAGUAAUAGACGAAAUGGCUGAAAAAAUAUAAAUUGAAUUUUUCUGUUUGGCAUAAAAUAGCCCGAUAUUUCCCAUAGGUACUGUUCAUCUCAUGUGCAUUUUGUGCUGUAUCUACUAGGAUGGAAUUGAGUGCGAAACCGGGCUCAGGUGGCACGUACGGAGAAGAUGGCAUAGAUCGAUGGGAAGAUGCGGUCAAAGACACAAAAGACAAAACGAGUUGGUGUGGUGCUGGAGCCGAGGGUGAUGUUGCCGAGUGGGAAACAUGUGAUGUUCGACGCGUUUGGAGGGGAGUAGCGCAUGCAUGUUAGAGUUAAACGCAAUCCUAGAGUGGACGUGGGUGUCAUACAAAAGGGUACGAGGUAGGUCGCGGUCGGAGCUCGAAGUAGACCAGAUGAAAGGGCUCAAGAGGAAUGGGAUUCGCUGCCGGAGGCCUGUGUGUAGGCUAUUGUGUGGUAUAAACAUAUAAACAAUGUCAAUAAACAAUUUAUAUGGGAGGACACUAACUUUUUGAGUUUGAAGACCAAGACACCGAUACCCUUGUCCAUGAUAUCGCUAGUGGACCGAAUGAGACGCCCGACUUUGCCAUUUUGAAGGGAGGUGCGGGGCACACAAUGCAAAGAACUUAGACAUGGAGACCUCCAGGUCGUAGUCGUGGAAUUUUCGUCCAAAAGAACUCGUCUUGGUUACAUACAUAAAAUAAAAUAUUAUACACAUAUAUAUUUCUCAUGUUCUUGUGUGUGAGAAUAUUUCACGAUUUUUAAAAAAUUGUGCAUGUAUAGAAAAAAUGAGAAGGAAACAAAGAAGCAAAUGAAAAAAGAAAGGAAAAAGAAAACCAAACUUUAAUACCUUGAUAAAUAGAGAAUAAAAUUAAAUAAUAUUGAAUAAUAGAACCAUAAAACGUAAAAACCAUAGGAGAAAUAAAAGAAAAAGGGGAUCAUAUAUAAUGAAAAUGAAAAAAAUUAAAAAAAGAAUGGAAGAAAAGAGAACUAUUGUUACUGGGGCCCUGCUUAUACUAGAGGAGACGUCCCACGUCCGUCAAACAGCUACACCUUCACGCUAGUGCGAAACGUCUGGGCGGUCCAUGUAGCAACACUGUAGCUUUCGAUACACUUUAACUCUCCGGUUUUAAUUAGGGUUUUCCAAACAAUUUCUUAAAAUAUUAAUCUUCUUCCAAAAAACAAACAAUUUUCCAAAAAUGUAAACAUUUUUUGUAAUUUGAACAACUCCCAAAAGUAUCUACAAUUUUCUGAAAAUAUUUUAAACCUUUUUAAAAAUUAUUAUAUUUUAAAAAAAUAGUGUAUAUUAAAAAAGGUUCACCGUAUAUUGAAAAGAAAUCGACCAUAUACAAAAAAUUUGAUCAGUGUCUAUUCGAAAAUGUUCAUUAUAUCUCUAAAAAUGUUGAUCUUAUAUUAAUUUUUCAAUGUAUAUUACAUAAAUGUUAAGUGUAUAUUCAAAAAAUGUUCAUCAUAUAUUAAUGAUUCUUUUGUCAUGUAUGAAAUAUAUUGUUCCCAUGUAUUAAAAAUGUUGAAAAAUUAAAUAUUCACUGUUUUAUUUUGAAAAAAAUAUUUAACAUAUGUUGCAAAAAAAGUAUGAAAAUAAACAUAAAACCAAAAGAAAAACCAAAUCUCAAAAAUGAAAUAGAAAAAAUAAAAAGAACAAGAAAACUGAAACAAAAACCACACAUAAAAGAACAAAAAAAUACAGCCGAAAAACGACAGAAGAAAAAGGCAUUUCCGAUUGGAGGCUCGGCCAUUAGAAUCCACCAGGACAUCAAUAUCACGAAAUCUGACAGCCGAAAGCGCACAGGUCAAGAGAGGGUUAGGAGAGUGCUCAGUAUUGAUGUCCAUAAAAUAUAUUUGCAAAAUGCGAAACUAGCCCAUGGUUUUCGCAAAAUCAGGGGUGGAUUCUGUCCUCAAUAAGAAACUGAAAUUAUAGAGUUUUGUUUCCAUCUGAAAUUAUGAAGAACUGUACUGUGCUAAUUUUUUAGCCAAAUCUAUUUUCCUUUAUUUUUCUUUCACUUCAGAUGUUAGGGAUAUACCACCAUCAGAUAAGAUUAGGCUCACCCUUGACUAUCCUGGAAGAACCAACGUCAGAUUUAACAAAACCUUUUUGUUGUAUCCUUCCCUUCCUUGAUUAUUUUUUUGUUCCUUUUCCUAUCUUCAUUAAUUGUUAGGGCGCUGAGGUAGCCAAUACUGCUGCCUGGUUAUAUUGAAAGCUAGCGGUGCGGGUUCUCUUGAGAAAAAAAAUGGGAUCGGCUUUGUUGUACUUGAACUAAUUUUGCAGGUUUGAUUUUAGCCAAAUCUUUAUAAGUAUUACUUGUUGUCAACCCGUGCACUUGCACGGGCUAGUAUUUUUUUACAUAUUUACACAAACAAUCACAAAGCAAGUAUUAUAAAUUGGAAGUGAAAAUAUGUGCGAAUUAUAUUGGAGAAACUUUCAUGCAUGUUUAUUAUUUUGAACAAUGUGAUUCUUGCUCAAACAUAGGACUAAAAGGAAGUGUGUUCCUUCUAAUAGUUCCUUAUUCACAUUUUUUCUUAAAUUAGUGUCACAUUGAAUUGUAUGUUUACACAGGACGUACUAUUAUUACUAUAACAUAUUUCAAAAUAUACCUUUUUUCAUCGACAACAAAUCUCACACCUUCUCCAGACAACAAAAUNNNNNNNNNNNNNNNNNNNNNNNNNNNNNNNNNNNNNNNNNNNNNNNNNNNNNNNNNNNNNNNNNNNNNNNNNNNNNNNNNNNNNNNNNNNNNNNNNNNNNNNNNNNNNNNNNNNNNNNNNNNNNNNNNNNNNNNNNNNNNNNNNNNNNNNNNNNNNNNNNNNNNNNNNNNNNNNNNNNNNNNNNNNNNNNNNNNNNNNNNNNNNNNNNNNNNNNNNNNNNNNNNNNNNNNNUAUAUAUGGAGUUCAUAGAUACAUUAGCUCCCCGUUUUGAGCUAGAGACAUUAACAUUUUGUUCCCCAAAACAUGAUUCCUGCUCGCAUGUUGCUUCAUGUGGUUUCUGCAACCUUUCUAAGCAAAUGAUACAACAUCUUUUCUCGGGCUUUUCUGUCAUCGCCAUCACUUGGAGCUCGGUGCUUCAAUGGGCUAAUCUUAGCAAGGUCGUCCCCCAACAUGUUGUUCUGCACAGGGUCUGGUACUCUGGUGGCGGGAGGCAGGGAGACGGUUCAGGCCUCUAAGGAAAGUGCUCUAAACUCCCUUGUGCCACUGGUAGUUUGAAGAAUAUGGCGGGGGGAAUGGAAGGGUUUUUGAUGACUCUGCAUAUGCCGCUGCCACUACAAAGGAUCAUCAACCAAUUAAAAACUGAAGCUUGUUAAUGGGCUGUAACACCCCGGAUAUGAUUACCCAAUAUGUAAUCCAACUCUUGCCGUUUCCGGCGUUAAGUUAUUUUAUUUUUUCGGGUUCGGGUUUUUGUCUCCAUGUGUUGUUAUCGUUGUCAUGCAUCUUAUAUCAUAUCAUCAUGUGCAUUGCAUUUGCAUACAUGUUCAUCUCAUGCAUUCGAGCAUUUUCCCCGUUGUCCGUUUUGCAUUCCGGCGCUUCGUUCUCCUCCGGUGGUCAUUUCUACCUUUCUUUCGUGUGUGGGGUUUAAACAUUUCUGGAUUGAACCGAGACUUGCAAAGCGGCCUUGGUUUACUACCGGUAGACCGCCUGUCAAGUUUUGUACCAUUUGGACUUCGUUUGAUGCUCCAAUGGUUAACCGAGGGACCGAAAAGGCCUCGUGUGUGUUGCAGCCCAACACCCCUCCAAGUUGGACCAAAACUCACCAAAACCCUCUCCAUCAUCUAGAGCGUUCAAUCACGAUCGCGUGGCCGAAAACCGCACCUUAUUUGGACUCUCCUAGCUCCCUCUAUGCCUAUAUAUACACCUCCCCCUCCAAAAAUUCGCGGUGCAAACCUACCCUAACUCUCCCCGCCGCCGCCGGACAUCUUCGCCACCGACGGACACGUCUGGAUCCGCCGGCCUGCGCCAAUCAACGUCCGCGAUGUGGCGCCGCGCCCACAUCGCCUGUCCCCGCCGCCGCGCGGGCCGGGAGCCCGGAGCCGGCCCCCGCGGCCCGCUCCCUCGCGCCGCCNNNNNNNNNNNNNNNNNNNNNNNNNNNNNNNNNNNNNNNNNNNNNNNNNNNNNNNNNNNNNNNNNNNNNNNNNNNNNNNNNNNNNNNNNNNNNNNNNNNNNNNNNNNNNNNNNNNNNNNNNNNNNNNNNNNNNNNNNNNNNNNNNNNNNNNNNNNNNNNNNNNNNNNNNNNNNNNNNNNNNNNNNNNNNNNNNNNNNNNNNNNNNNNNNNNNNNNNNNNNNNNNNNNNNNNNNNNNNNNNNNNNNNNNNNNNNNNNNNNNNNNNNNNNNNNNNNNNNNNNNNNNNNNNNNNNNNNNNNNNNNNNNNNNNNNNNNNNNNNNNNNNNNNNNNNNNNNNNNNNNNNNNNNNNNNNNNNNNNNNNNNNNNNNNNNNNNNNNNNNNNNNNNNNNNNNNNNNNNNNNNNNNNNNNNNNNNNNNNNNNNNNNNNNNNNNNNNNNNNNNNNNNNNNNNNNNNNNNNNNNNNNNNNNNNNNNNNNNNNNNNNNNNNNNNNNNNNNNNNNNNNNNNNNNNNNNNNNNNNNNNNNNNNNNNNNNNNNNNNNNNNNNNNNNNNNNNNNNNNNNGCCGGACCGCGCCACCGUGCCUCCUCGUCCCCGGCCGAGUCGCGCCGCUCGCCGCCCGAGCCGCCCGCCAUCACCGCCCGGAUCCGGUGUCUUCUCUCUCCGGCGACCGCGGCAAGUCCGGCCACCGCGUCGUCAAUUUCCGGCGAACCUCGAGACUCGUGCUGCUACAGUGCCCAGAUCUAGAUCCGGUUGAUUUUUUGCCUGAAACCUUAAUUAUUUGGCAUUGUUCAUCGCAUCGUACCUCCACAUCCGUAGCCCCGUUUUGGGCAUAUAGCAUAUCAAAAUGUUCGUCUCAGAGAGCACAUCAUUUCAUGCCAUUGCAUCAUUUUCAUUUAAGUUCAUCUUGAUGCCCGAAAUGCUUUUGGAAGAGUGCUAUUUGAGAUAAUUGUCAGAUCUGCUGCUCCAAUUAGAUAUUUGUCAUUUUGCCAUGAUUAUUAUGUGCAUGAUAUGCCCCUGAGCUCUUUAUGAGUUUUGUUAUAUGUUUUGCCAUCUAUCCAGAGGUGCAAUCCAUGUAUUUUUGUGAUGUGUGUGGUGACUAGCACAAGCUUGCAAAAUGGAGCAUUCAUUAAUGCUGAUUUCAGGGACUUAGCAUUUCCACUAAGUCCUUGAACUGUUUAUCUCAGUAUGCCAUAUGUUCAUGUUGUUUCCUAGUGAUCCGUGCCUCUUUUGAGGAUGAUCAGUAAGGAUGUUUUGUUAAUCUUGUAGUGCUCUAUCCAUCCGUGUCUUUGUUUGCAAUUAUGGAGCAUCCUAGCUUGAGUCAAUCGAGCUCUACUUUUGUCAUUUCGUGAAUCUGGGCAGAUUGUCUACUUGUUAGCGAUUUUGCCGAGGAUGUUGUAGUUGAUCCGUGCAUGCUAUGUUAUUGUUCUUGGCAUGUCUAGCUUGUAUUUUGUGUGUUCUUGAUGGGUGUAUGCUUAGUUUGUCAUGAGUUGCUCUGUAGUGAGUGCAUCGAGCUCGUAAACAUGCCUACUUGAUAUCUGUUUCAGCAUGCUCCAGAUUUCACUAAGUCUGAGAACUGAUUAUGUUUUUGCCAUGUUCACAUGCUUGCAAAUGUAUUUUAUGAUCCCUUUUGGCUCAAGACCACUAAGGGACUUUUGUUAAGCUCCUUGAGUAUCUCCAUGCCAUGCUUUACUUUGCCAUGUUCAGCUCCUGUAGCAUAUAAUUUUCAUGCUCCAAAGAGUGCUAUCUGAUCUGAAAUUCUAGACAAGUGUUAAUUUCACCAAGUCCGAAAUCUGUUUGCCAAAUGCAUUUUUGCGAUGCUUCUUUGAACCUGUUAAUGGAUGAAUUGGCCGUAGCUCAGUGUUCCUCUUUUGUUAAGCAUCAUGAAUGGAUCCCUGCCAUGUAUUUUGAUGCCAUGUUUGGGUGCUGUAGCAUGUUCAUCUUGUUGCAUUUAGAUGGCUACUUGCUGUAAAUCACAGAACGUGGUCAUAUUUGAAUUGCUUGCCAUUUCCAAACCGUAACUCCGAUUCCGGCGUUCUUUAUAUCGUUUUCAAGCGAUUUCAUCUCACCUUUCCAGUGGCAGACUUGGAUUUCAAAGUUGUGGCCAGGUUCAUGCAUUCCUUGUCAAAUCUUGCAUAUGCAUAGCAUAUCGCAUCCCGCAUAGCAUACCAUCUUUGCGUCAUAUUGUUUGAGCUUUGCACAUGGUUGAUUGCGUUCCGUUUGCUUGUUUGUCUUGAUUGGGUAGAGCCGGGAGACGAGUUCUCUAACGAGGAGCCCAUUGAGUUGGCUUUCGAGGAUCCAGUCAACUCUGACAACUUUGCAGCCAAGAUGAUCAUACCCUCGAAAUCACUACUAUCUUUGCUUUGCUAGAUGCUCACUCUUUUGCUAUGCCUAUGCUACGAUGCCUACCACUUGCUUAUAAUGCCUCCCAAAUUGCCAUGUCAAACCUCUAACCCACCAUGUCCUAGCAGACCGUUGAUUGGCUAUGUUACCGCUUUGCUCAGCCCCUCUUAUAGCGUUGCUAGUUGCAGGUGAAGAUUGGAGACCGUUCCUUGUUGGAACAUUAUUUACUUGUUGGGAUAUCAUUAUAUUGCCUUGUUAUCUUAAUGCAUCUAUAUACUUGGUAAAGGGUGGAAGGCUCGGCCUCUCGCCUAGUGUUUUGUUCCACUCUUGCCGCCCUAGUUUCCGUCAUAUCGGUGUUAUGUACCCGGGUUUUUGCGUUCCUUACGUGGUUGGGUGAUAAAGGGAACCCCGUGAUAGUUCGCCUUGAUUAAAGCUUUUCCAGCAAUGCCCAACCUUGGUUUUACCAUUUGCCACCUAGCCUCUUUUUCCCUUGGGUUUCCGGAGCCCGAGGGUCAUCCUAUUUUAAACCCCCCCCCGGGCCAGUGCUCCUCUAAGUGUUGGUCCACCUCGUCAGCCGCUGGUGUCCACCAGGGGCAACUCUGGGCUGGCCUACCGGAAGUUUAGUUAAUCUGAGUGUGCCCUGAGAACGAGAUAUGUGCAGCUCCUAUCAGGAUUUGUCGGUACAUUUGGGCGGUGUUGCUGGAUUGGUUUUAACUUGUCAAAGUGUCUUGUAGAACCGGGAUACCGAGUCUAAUCGGAAUGUCUCGGGAGGAGGUCUAUUCCUUCGUUGACCAUGAGAGCUUGUCAUGGGCUAAGUUGGGACUCCCCUGCAGGGAUUUGAACUUUCGAAAGCCGUCCCGCGGUUAUGGGCAGAUGGGAAUUUGUUAAUGUCCGGUUGUAGAUAACUUGAACCUUAACUUAAUUAAAAUGAAUCAACUGUGUGAGUUACCGUGAUGGUCUCUUCUAGGCGGAGUCCAGGAAGUGAACACGGUGUUGGAGUAAUGCUUGCCGCAGGAUGCCCCCUAGUUAUUCGUUCGCGCUUUGCCUUCUCUUCUCGCUCUCUUUUGCGAACAGGUUAGCCACCAUAUAUGCUAGUCGCUUGCUGCAGCUCCACAUAAUUACCUUGCUUUACCUAUAAGCUUAAAUAGUCUUGAUCGCGAGGGUGCGGGAUUGCUGAGUCCCUGUGGCUCACAGAUUACUUCCAAACCAGAUGCAGGGCCUGAUGAUUCCGUUCCAGAUGACGCGCUUGAGCUCAAGUGGGAGUUCGACGAGGACUCACGUCGUUACUAUGUGUCUUUCCAUGAUGAUCAGUAGUGGUGCCCAGUUGGGGGUGAUCGGGACCGUGUCGCAUGUUGGGUUUAUCUUUUAUUUUGGCGCCGUAGUCGGGCCAUGAGUGUUUGAUUGUUGUAAUGCUAUUUAUGUACUUUGUUUGACGUGGCGAGUGUAAGCCAACUAUGUAUCUCCCCUUUUAUUAUCUAUAUUACAUGGGAUGUUGUGAAGAUUGCCUAACUUGCGACAUUGCUUUCAAUGCGGUUAUGCCUCUAAGUCAUGCCUCGACACGUGGGAGCUAUAGCCGCAUCGAGGGCGUGACAGCUACCGAGCCAAAUUUGGGAGGCAUGAUAAGCAAGUGGCUUCUCAAUUUAUGGAUAUGUGACCAUUUCCAUAAUUUGGGAGACAGUAUUCGUUCUUGAUCCAUACCUUGUUAAUUUAUUUCUCUACCUAAAUUCUAAGUGGCUUCUCAAUUUAUGGAUAUGUGACCAUUUCAAGUGGAAUGCAUUCGUUCUUAUGUUGGGAUGUGAAGACUUUAUGUUGCAAUUUCAACCCGUUUGAUUCAGCUUCAUUUUAUCUGUCAAUGUGCUAACAGUUGUCACCCUCUUCAGGAUGGCUCCCGCUAAGAGCACCAAUCAGAAUCAGAAUCAGGAUCCGCCACCACCUCCUCCUCCUCCGGAGGCAUGGCAAGCUGUGAUGGCCGUAACCAAUGCAAACACAAAGUUGAUCAUGCAAAUUCUUCAAGAGCGCAAUCAAGCGAACCAAGGCAAACAAGGCAACGAUCAGAAUCACUUUGCUACACUCAACCAGUUCCUUGCUAACGGGCCAAAGACUUUCAGCAAUUGUGUUGAGGCAACUUAUGCUGACGAUUGGCUCGUGGAUCUAUGCAAGCAUUUCGAGUGCAGUAAUGCCGGCCUGAGGACUUCGUCAAGUUCGCUUCCUUCCAACUCAAAGAUCAAGCUGCAGAAUGGUUCCAGCAAUACAAGGACUCCAGAGGAGGUCGUGUGAUUACCUGGAUGAAUUCCAUCAAGACUUCAAAGCUCAUCAUAUUCCUCAGAGCGUGGUUGAAAGAAAGUGUGAGGAAUUCUGCAACAUGAAGCAAGGCUCUUUGUCUGUGUAUGACUACAACAAGUUGUUCCAGAAGCUCGCCCGCUUUGCUAAGCAGGACGUCCCUGACGAGAAGAGCAUGAUAUACCAGUUCAGGGUGGUCUCAGAGAAGAAAUCUAGCUAGCUCUUGUUCUCUUUGAGCCCUUGAGAUACGAUGAGUUCUACAACAUGGCAUUGAAGCAAGAGGCCGCUCAACUGAGGUGUGAUGCUUCCAAGAAGCGAGUCAGAGAUGCUACUCCUUCUUCCUCUACUCAAGUGGCCAAGCAGCAGAAGUAUUGGCUUCCUCCUCCUCCGUUCCGUCAGCCGUAUCAGCAGAAGAGCAAAGGUGGCAGUGGAUGUUCCCACCCACCCAACCCUGGCUUUCAGAACAAGACUUCGUCUCAAGCUCCAAGAUCGAGUGCUCCGUAUCACCGUCCGCUUUUAGAGGUCACGUGCAACAAGUGCCAACAUAAGGGUCACUAUGCCAACAAAUGCUUCAAUCAGAGGCGUCUCCCUCCUCCUCUUGUGAGAUCGGCAAGUACAGCUGUGGUCAAGCAUAACCCCAAGUACUCCAAGGUUAACAUGGUGAAUGCAGCUCAGGCAGAGGACUCGUCAGAUGUCAUCAUGGGUAACCUUCCUGUUAACAAUGUUCCUGCAAAAGUUCUUUUUGACACUGGUGCAUCGCAUUGUUUCAUCUCGAGAUCUUUUGCAUCUAAACAUGGGUGGUAUUCUCAAGUUAUGCAUAAACCGUUAGCAGUUGUCUCUCCGAGUAGUUGUUUGCUCGCUAACUACGAGGUUCCGAAUAUUUCUAUCUCGAUGGGUGAUUUCAAGUUUCUGGCUUCUCCAAUGAUCCUUGGUAACUCGGAUAUUGAUCUUAUUCUCGGGAUGGAUUGGCUUUCUAAGCACAAGGCUCAGCUUGAUUGUGCAGCCAGGCAGAUUCAAUUGACUCAUUCGUCUGAGGAUGUAAUUGUCUUUGCCGCUCGGGAUAAUACAAUCCAUCUGUUCUCUCUCAAUAAGAAGGGUGAACUGGAUGCUAUCUCGCAAAUUCCAGUCGUUUGCGAAUAUCAAGACGUCUUUCCAGAAGAGCUUCCAGGAAUGCCUCCGCACCGGCCAGUUGAAUUCGUCAUCGAUCUUGAGCCUGGCACGGAACCUGUGUGCAAGCGUCCUUACAAGCUCGAACCUGAAGAGUUGAAGGAGCUGAAGAAGCAACUCGAUGUUCAAGAGAGAAUGGGUCUCAUCCGGCCUAGUUCUUCUCCGUGGGGUGGUGGUGUUCUUUUUGUGAAGAAGAAGGAUGGAACGGACCGACUUUGUGUUGACUACCGUCCAUUGAACAAGAAGACUAUCAAGAACAAAUACCCACUUGCCAACAUCAACGAGCUAUUCGAACAACUCAAAGGUGCCCAAGUAUUCUCCAAGCUUGAUCUCCGUAUGGGUUAUCACCAGAUUCGAAUCCGUGAGCAAGAUAUUCCCAAGACGGCUUUCAGGACAAGCUUUGGUUCAUAUGAAUAGACUGUCAUGUCUUUUGGCCUCAUCAACGCUCCUCCGACUUUCUCUCGCAUGAUGAACUUCAUCUUCAACGCCUACACCAACGACUUUAUUUUGGUCUAUCUCGACGACAUUCUGGUCUUUUCGAAGUACAAGGAAGAUCAUGCCAAGCACUUGCGUUUGGUGCUCGAUAAGCUCAGGGAACACAAGUUCUACGCCAAGUUCUCCAAGUGCGAAUUUUGCCUCGAUGAGGUUCUUUAUCUUGGUCAUAUCAUCUCUGCCAAGGGCAUUGCGGUGAAUCCUGAGAAGGUGUCUGCAAUUGUGAAUUGGGAACCUCCUCAGAAUGUGAAGCAACUCCGUAGCUUCCUCGGUCUCGCAAGCUACUGUCGAAGAUUCGUUGAAAACUUUUCUAAGAUCGCGAAGCCUCUCUCAAAUCUUCUCCAGAAGCACGUCAAGUACGUUUGGUCUCCGGAGUGUGACAUUGCUUUCAACACUUUGAAAGAGAAAUUGGUCACCGCUCCAGUUCUGACUCCGCCUGAUGAAUCCAAGCCGUACGAGGUCUUUUGCAAUGCCUCUCUCCAAGGUCUUGGUGCAGUGUUGAUGCAAGAAAAGAAAGUUGUGGCUUAUACCUCCCGCCAGUUGAAGCCCAACGAGAAGAACUACCCCACUCAUGAUCUCGAGUUGGCGGCAGUUGUGCAUGCUCUUUUGACUUGGAGACAUCUCUUAUUGGGAAGAAAAGUGGACAUCUUCACUGACCACAAGAGUCUCAAGUAUAUCUUCACGCAGCCUAAUCUCAACCUCAGGCAGACUCGAUGGGUCGAAAUGAUUCAAGAGUAUAAUCCGAGUAUCGAGUAUACUCCAGGAAAGGCCAAUGUGAUUGCUGAAGCAUUGAGCAGGAAGGCUUAUUGCAACAGUCUGAUUCUCAAGCCUUAUCAACCCGAGCUUUGUGAAGCUUUCCGCAAACUUAAUCUGCAAGUUGUUCCUCAAGGUUUCCUCGCGAAACUUAAUCUGGUCUUCCAAGUUGUAUCUCCUACCUUGGAAGACCAGAUUCGCCAAGCUUAGCUUCUUGAUGCUAUGGUGAAGAAGGUAAAAAUUGGGAUUGCCAAGAGUCAACCCAAGUACAAGUGCUACCGCCUCGAUGACAAGGAUACUCUCUUAUUCGAGGAUCGUAUUGUCGUGCCCAAAGGUGACCUUCGUAAAGUGAUCAUGAACGAGGCUCACAAUUCUCUCCUCUCCAUCCACCCUGGGAGCACGAAGAUGUAUCAGGACCAUAGGCAGGCUUAUUGGUGGACUCGAAUGAAGCGUGAAAUUGAUCAGUUAACGAAUGUGAUGUCUGCAGAAGAGUGAAGGCAGAACACCAAAGGCCAGCUGGUCUCCUCCAACCUCUUGCCAUUCUAGAAUGGAAGUUUGACCACAUUGAGAUGGACUUCGUGACUGGGUUUCCAAAGUCCAAGCGUGGCAAUGAUGCUAUAUUCGUUGUCAUCGACAAACUCACUAAAGUGGCUCACUUUCUACCUAUCAAAGAGUCAAUCACUGCAGCUCAACUGGCAGAACUCUAUACCUCUCGAAUUGUCUCUCUGCACGGUAUUCCACAAGUGAUCUCUUCAGACCGUGGCAGCAUCUUUACCUCCAAGUUUUGGGAAUCUUUCCAGAAGGCCAUGGGCACCAACAUCCGCUUCAGCACACCUUUCUAUCCGCAAACUAGCGGUCAAGUCGAGCGUGUCAAUCAGAUUCUUGAAGAUAUGCUCAGGGCUUGUGUGAUCUCCUUCGGCAUGAAGUGGGAGGAUUGUCUUCCUUAUGCUGAAUUCUCAUACAACAACAGUUUUCAAGCAAGUUCGGGCAAGGCCCCAUUUGAAAUUCUGUAUGGCAGGAAGUGCCGUACCCCUCUCAACUGGUCUGAAACCGGUGAACGUCAACUUCUGGGAAAUGACUUAAUCACAGAGGCAGAGGAAAUGUGCAAAGUCAUUCGAGAUAACCUCAAAGCAGCCCAAUCCCACCAGAAGAGCUACUAUAAUAGUAAGCACCGUGAUUUGGCUUUCGAGAUCGGAGAUCAUGUUUACCUCCGCGUCUCUCCUAUGAAAGGUACUCGUCGCUUCGGUAUCAAAGGGAAGCUUGCCCCUAGAUACGUGGGACCUUUCAAGAUUGUCAGCAAGAGAGGCGAUCUCGCCUAUCAACUCGAGCUUCCUUCAAACUUUGCAAAUGUGCAUGACGUGUUCCAUGUCUCUCAGCUUCGAAAGUGCUUCAAGACUCCCGACCGCACCAUCAACUUCGAGGGAAUUGAGCUCCAAGAAGAUCUCUCUUAUCGUGAGCACCCCGUUGCUAUUCUUGAAGAGACUGAACGCAAGACUCGCAAUAAGUCAAUCAAAUUCCUCAAAGUCAAGUGGUCACACCAUUCCGACCGUGAAGCUACCUGGGAACGCGAGGAUCACCUCCGUUCUGAAUACCCGGCGUUCUUUCAGUCCUAGAUCUCGGGACGAGAUCCUUUCGUAGUGGUGGAGUGUUGUAACACCCCGGAUAUGAUUACCCAAUAUGUAAUCCAACUCUUGCCGUUUCCAGCGUUAAGUUAUUUUAUUUUCUCGGGUUCGGGUUUUUGUCUCCGUGUGUUGUUAUCGUUGUCAUGCAUCUCAUAUCAUAUCAUCACGUGCAUUGCAUUUGCAUACAUGUUUAUUUCAUGCAUUCGAGCAUUUUCCCCGUUGUCCGUUUUGCAUUCCGGCGCUUCGUUCUCCUCCGGUGGUCAUUUCUACCUUUCUUUCGUGUGUGGGGUUUAAACAUUUCCGGAUUGGACCGAGACUUGCCAAGAGGCCUUGGUUUACUACCGGUAGACCGCCUGUCAAGUUCGUACCAUUUGGACUUCGUUUGAUGCUCCAACAGUUAACCGAGGGACCGAAAAGGCCUCGUGUGUGUUGCAGCCCAACACCCCUCCAAGUUGGACCAAAACUCACCAAAACCCUCUCCAUCAUCUAGAGCGUUCGAUCACGAUCGCGUGGCCGAAAACCGCACCUUAUUUGGACUCUCCUAGCUCCCUCUAUGCCUAUAUAUACACCUCCCCCUCCAAAAAUUCGCGGUGCAAACCUACCCUAACUCUCCCCGCCGCCGCCGGACAUCUUCGCCACCGACGGACACGUCCGGAUCCGCCGGCCCGCGCCAAUCAACGUCCGCCAUGUGGCGCCGCGCCCACAUCGCCUGUCCCCGCCGCCGCGCGGCCCGGGAGCCCGGAGCCGGCCCCCGCGGCCCGCUCCCUCGCGCCGCCCGCCCGCGCGUCUCUUCGCCCGUGCCGGCGAAGCCUCAAGCUCCGGCCGCCGCCCGCCAUCGCCGCCGUUGAUGCCGACCCGUCGGACCGCGCCACCGCGCCUACUCGUCCCCGGCUAAGCCGCGCCGCUCGCCGCCCGAGCUGCCCGCCAUCACCGCCGCCUCGCCCUCGACUCCACCGCCCGGAUCCGGUGUCUUCUCUCUCCGGCGACCGCGGCAAGUCCGGCCACCGCGUCGUCCAUUUUCGGCGAACCUCGAGACUCAUGCUGCUACAGUGCCCAGAUCUAGAUCCGGUUGAUUUUUUUGCCCAAAACCUUAAUUAUUUGGCAUUGUUCAUCGCAUCGUAACUCCGCAUCCGUAGCUCCGUUUUAGGCAUAUAGCAUAUCAAAAUGUUCGUCUCAGAGAGCACAUCAUUUCAUGCCAUUACAUCGUUUUAAUUUGAGUUCAUCUUGAUGCCCAAAAUGCUGUUAGAAGAGAGAUAUUUAAGACAAUUGUCAGAUCUGCUACUCCAAUUAGAUAUUUGUCAUUUUUGCCAUGAUUAUUGUGUGCAUGAUAUGCCCCUGAGCUCUUCAUGAGUUUUGUUAUAUGUUUUGCCAUCUAUCCAGAGGUGCAAUCCAUGUAUUUUAGUGAUGUGUGUGGUGACUAGCACAAGCUUGCAAAGUGGAGCAUUCGUUAAUGCUGGUUUCAGGGACUUAGCAUUUCCACCAAGUCCUUGAGCUGUUUAUCUCAAUAUGCCAUAUGUUCAUGUUGUUUCCUAGUGAUCCGUGCCUCUUUUGAGGAUGAUCAGUAAGGAUGUUUUGUUAAUCUUGUAGUGCUCUAUCCAUCCAUGUCUUUGUUUGCAAUUAUGGAGCAUCCUAGCUUGAGUCAAUCGAGCUCUACUUUUGUCAUUUCGUGAAUCUGGGCAGAUUGUCUACUUGUUAGCGAUUUUGCUGAGGAUGUUGUAGUUGAUCCGUGCAUGCUAUGUUAUUGUUCUUGCCAUGUCUAGCUUGUAUUUUGUGUAUUCUUGAUGGGUGUAUGCUUAGUUUGUCAUGACUUGCUCUGUAGUGAGUGCAUCGAGCUCGUAAACAUGCCUACUUGAUAUCUGUUUUAGCAUGCUCCAGUUUUCACUAAGUCUGAGAACUGAUUAUGUUUUUGCCAUGUUGACAUGCUUGCAAAUGUAUUUUAUGAUCCCUUUUGGCUCAAGACCACUAAGGGACUUUUGUUAAGCUCUUUGAGUAGCUCCAUGCCAUGCUUUAUUUUGCCAUGUUCAGGUCCUGUAGCAUAUAAUUUUCAUGCUCCAAAGAGUGCUAUCUGAUCUGAAAUUCUAGACAAGUGUUAAUUUCACCAAGUCUGAAAUCUGUUUGCCAAAUGCAUUUUUGCGAUGCUUCUUUGAACCUGUUAAUGGAUGAAUUGGCCGUAGCUCAGUGUUCCUCUUUUGUUAAGCAUCAUGAAUGGAUCCCUGCCAUGUAUUUUGAUGCCAUGUUUGGGUGCUGUAGCAUGUUCAUCUUGUUGCAUUUAGAUGGCUACUUGCUGUAAAUCACAGAACGUGGUCAUAUUUGAAUUGAUUGCCAUUUCCAAACCGUAAAUCUGAUUCCGGCGUUCUUUAUAUCGUUUUCAAGCGAUUUCAUCUCACCUUUCCAGUGGCACACUUGGAUUUCCAAGUUGAGGCCAGGUUCAUGCAUUCCUUGUCAAAUCGUGCAUAUGCAUAGCAUAUCGCAUCCCGCAUAGCAUACCAUCUUGCAUCAUAUUGUUUGAGCUUUGCACGUGGUUGAUUGCCUUCCGUUUGCUUGUUUGUCUUGAUUGGGUAGAGCCGGGAGAUGAGUUCGCUAACGAGGAGCCCGUUGAGUUUGCUUUCAAGGAUCCAGUCAACUCUGACAACUUUGCAGGCAAGAUGAUCAUACCCUCGAAAUCACUACUAUCUUUGCUUUGCUAGAUGCUCGCUCUUUUGCUAUGCCUAUGCUACGAUGCCUACCACUUGCUUAUCAUACCUCCCAAAUUGCCAUGUCAAACCUCUAAACCACCAUGUCCUAGCAAACCGUUGAUUGGCUAUGUUACCGCUUUGCUCAUCCCCUCUUAUAGCGUUGCCAGUUGCAUGUGAAGAUUGGAGACCGUUCCUUGUUGGAACAUUAUUUACUUGUUGGGAUAUCAUUAUAUUGCCUUGUUAUCUUAAUGCAUCUAUAUACUUGGUAAAGGGUGGAAGGCUCGGCCUCUCGCCUAGUGUUUUGUUCCACUCUUGCCGCCCUAGUUUCCGUCAUAUCGGUGUUAUGUUCCCGGAUUUUUGCGUUCCUUAUGCGGUUGGGUGAUAAUGGGAACCCCGUGAUAGUUCACCUUGAUUAAAGCUUUUCCAGCAAUGCCCAACCUUGGUUUUACCAUUUGCCACCUAGCCUCUUUUUCCCUUGGGUUUCCGGAGCCCGAGGAUCAUCUUAUUUUAAACCCCCCCUGGCCAGUGCUCCUUUGAGUGUUGGUCCACCUCGUCAGCCGCCGGUGGCCACCAGGGGCAACUCUGGGCUGGCCUACCGGAAGUUUAGACAAUCUGAGUGAGCCCUGAGAACGAGAUAUGUGCAGCUCCUAUCGGGAUUUGUCGGCACAUUCGGGCGGUGUUGCUGGAUUGGUUUUAACUUGUCAAAGUGUCUUGUAGAACCGGGAUACCGAGUCUGAUCGGAAUGUCUCGGGAGGAGGUCUAUUCUUUGUUGACCGUGAGAGCUUGUCAUGGGCUAAGUUGGGACUCCCCUGCAGGUAUUUUGAUGCCAUGGUUGGGUGCUGUAGCAUGUUCAUCUUGUUGCAUUUAGAUGGCUACUUGCUGUAAAUCGCAGAACAUGGUCAUAUUUGAAUUGCUUGCCAUUUCCAAACCGUAACUCCGAUUCCGGCGUUCUUUAUAUCGUUUUCAAGCGAUUUCAUCUCACCUUUCCAGUGGCAGACUUGGAUUUCAAAGUUGAGGCCAGGUUCAUGCAUUCCUUGUCAAAUCUUGCAUAUGCAUCGCAUAUCGCAUCCCGCAUAGCAUACCAUCUUUGUGUCAUAUUGUUUGAGCUUUGCACAUGGUUGAUUGCGUUCCGUUUGCUUGUUUGUCUUGAUUGGGUAGAGCCGGGAGACGAGUUCGCUAACGAGGAGCCCAUUGAGUUUGCUUUCGAGGAUCCAGUCAACUCUGACAACUUUGCAGCCAAGAUGAUCAUACCUUCGAAAUCACUACUAUCUUUGCUUUGCUAGAUGCUCACUCUUUUGCUAUGCCUAUGCUACGAUGCCUACCACUUGCUUAUCAUGCCUCCCAAAUUGCCAUGUCAAACCUCUAACCCACCAUGUCCUAGCAAACCGUUGAUUGGCUAUGUUACCGCUUUGCUCAGCCCCUCUUAUAGCGUUGCUAGUUGCAGGUGAAGAUUGGAGACCGUUCCUUGUUGGAACAUUAUUUACUUGUUGGGAUAUCAUUAUAUUGCCUUGUUAUCUUAAUGCAUCUAUAUACUUGGUAAAGGGUGGAAGGCUCGGCCUCUCGCCUAGUGUUUUGUUCCACUCUUGCCGCCCUAGUUUCCGUCAUAUUGGUGUUAUGUACCCGGAUUUUUGCGUUCCUUACGUGGUUGGGUGAUAAAGGGAACCCCGUGAUAGUUCGCCUUGAUUAAAGCUUUUCCAGCAAUGCCCAACCUUGGUUUUACCAUUUGCCACCUAGCCUCUUUUUCCCUUGGGUUUCCGGAGCCCGAGGGUCAUCCUAUUUUAAACCCCCCCAGGCCAGUGCUCCUCUAAGUGUUGGUCCACCUCGUCAGCCGCUGGUGUCCACCAGGGGCAACUCUGGGCUGGCCUACCGGAAGUCUAGAUAAUCUGAGUGUGCCCUGAGAACGAGAUAUGUGCAGCUCCUAUCAGGAUUUGUCGGCACAUUUGGGCGGUGUUGCUGGAUUGGUUUUAACUUGUCAAAGUGUCUUGUAGAACCGGGAUACCGAGUCUGAUCGGAAUGUCUCGGGAUGAGGUCUAUUCCUUCGUUGACCAUGAGAGCUUGUCAUGGGCUAAGUUGGGACUCCCCUGCAGGGAUUUGAACUUUCGAAAGCCGUCCCGCGGUUAUGGGCAGAUGGGAAUUUGUUAAUGUACGGUUGUAGAUAACUUGAACCUUAACUUAAUUAAAAUGAAUCAACUGUGUGAGUUACCGUGAUGGUCUCUUCUCGGCGGAGUCCAGGAAGUGAACACGGUGUUGGAGUAAUGCUUGCCGCAGGAUGCCCCCUAGUUAUUCGUUCGCGCUUUGCCUUCUCUUCUCGCUCUCUUUUGCGAACAGGUUAGCCACCAUAUAUGCUAGUCGCUUGCUGCAGCUCCACAUAAUUACCUUGCUUUACCUAUAAGCUUAAAUAGUCUUGAUCGCGAGGGUGCGGGAUUGCUGAGUCCCUGUGGCUCACAGAUUACUUCCAAACCAGAUGCAGGGCCUGAUGAUUCCGUUCCAGAUGACGCACUUGAGCUCAAGUGGGAGUUCGACGAGGACUCACGUCGUUACUAUGUGUCUUUCCCUGAUGAUCAGUAGUGGUGCCCAGUUGGGGGUGAUCGGGACCGUGUCGCAUGUUGGGUUUAUCUUUUAUUUUGGCGCCGUAGUCGGGCCAUGAGUGUUUGAUUGUUGUAAUGCUAUUUAUGUACUUUGUUUGACGUGGCGAGUGUAAGCCAACUAUGUAUCUCCCCUUUUAUUAUCUAUAUUACAUGGGAUGUUGUGAAGAUUGCCUAACUUGCGACAUUGCUUUCAAUGCGGUUAUGCCUCUAAGUCGUGCCUCAACACGUGGGAGAUAUAGCCGCAUCGAGGGCGUGACAUGGGCUUAAGCUAGUCUAGGUUGUUUAUGUUUACACUAGUUGAAGUGCCUUAGAUGUGGGAUCUUGUUCGUAUCCCGUGUGAUAUUGGUCGGACUUUCGGUCCUUUGUUGUUGGUGGUGAUACGUUGUACUGCUCUUGGACCUGUGUUUUCUUUUCUUCCCUAUCUUUAAUAUGCUACAUGUAGUCCCCAUGUAUGGUUCAAAAAAUCAUUUAGAGAGAGAGAGAGAGAACGGUUGAGCAAAUUGUAUUGAUAAGCCAUGAUUAGCAUGAUUGGUAAGAAAUAUAGCAUGUGGAUAUUAUGCAGCAGAUCAUCGGGGUGCAAAAAGAAACAUGUAAUAAGAUAGCUUCAGUCUCUACUGUUGUAAUCAGUGUAAAUUAUAUCGCCUUGGUGCUGUUUCUUGGGAGAUAAAAACUACAUAGAGUACCAAAAUAUGCAAAAGUCAAAUAUCGGUUAAACUGACAAAUAUUGAAUGGAUGCCUUGGUGUUGUUUCCUCGAAGGAAACAACUAUAGUAAACAGCAUAGUAUAAAAAAAGAAAUUUAAAAUGUUAGUUGAACUAACAUAUAUUCAAUAAGCAUUCAGAUACGGUUUAAUUAAACAUCAACCAAAUUGUAAAAAUCCAUUUUUCUGUCAUAAAUGGAAUAGAAAUAAAAAAUAUCAGGUAGAGUAAACUGAUAAAUUACUCUUUAGCACCUGAUAUUCCAUAAGAUACAGAUCUAUUUGUGUACUGUGUCUAUCAGAAAUUUAUCAUUUAGAUGCUCAGCGAUGGCAGCUCCAUGCGGAUCUUAUUGGGUGUCAGCGUCAACUUUCAGCAAUAGUAUCUAGCCCGGUGAAGUUCAUAAAUUGAACCGUAGAAUUUAGAUAUCUGCGGUGAAUAGAAUUAUAAUCAGCAGGAAACACUUUUUGAUAGUCUGUCUUCUAACAAAAAAUUGAUAUACACCAUGAUUAUUUGGUUGUGCGAUGCAAACAGUAAACAUGAAUUAAAAUAGUGAGACUUGAUUGAUACCUGAUGAAAUGUUAUUUUCAAUCUCCAAAGACGAUUGUGCAUCCUAUCAUGUUAGAAAACAAUGUUUUCACCUGAUUGAACUCACCGCCAAUUUAAUUUUCUAAAUUUGGUCUUUAGAACUAUGAAAAAAAGAUGGAAAUUGCAAAUUGUCGUUUCAAUCCAACAUUACCUUCUGAAGCUUAAGAAAAGGCUAUUCGCAACACAGUCCGGUGAAAUGUAUUCGUAAAAAUAUCUUGGAACUACCUACUAUGACUCAUGUUAUUUAGUGUGCUUGUUACAGUGCCUGUUUCUUUAGCUAGCUGAUGAAUGAUUUUCCCAUUAUAGGAAUUUUUUUGAAAAUGCUUCACGUGACUUAAAAGUAAUGCUUGAUGCAGUUUUUUUAUUUUAUGAAUCGUUUGCACCGUCCAUGACAAUAACUGAAACUAAAGCCUAAAAGACUAAUUAUACACGCUGGAAACUGAAUCAUGUAUUCAUGUUGAAUGCUCAGCCCUCCAUACGGAAUUAUCUAUCGGUAAGAAUAGGAUAUGACGGUCUGUUUUCUCUACCACAUCAGAAUGUAUACCCUAAAGUAAUUGUUAUCAACAAUCAGCUAUAUCAGCUGCCCAUGAAUCAUGAUUUUCCCAGUGCAUACUAUAUAUGUGAUGACGACCAUUUUUCUACUGUAUAAAAGUUGAAUGAUGAUCGUAAGGUUAGUUUAGCCUAGAUUACCUACAUAUCCAAUGCACUUAGCACAAAUCUGGCUUAAAAAAUUGCAAAAAUAGCAUUAACAUUUUGGAUAGGCGGUACUAUUAGAGAUAUAUUAUAUGGAUAAUUUUUUUUGCAGUGCUGAAAAUUUAGGAUAUAUUGUAUGGACUCUCUCUACUUCUAGUUCUCUUCUUCUAAUACAUCUUGCGCGUUUGCAAAAAAAUAAUUAGGAUAGACCUUUGCCAAAAAAAGCAGCCUAAUAUAACCUGAAACUUGGCAGCCUUAUUCAACAAAUUUGGCUCGGUAGCUGUAACGCCCUCGAUGCGGCUAUAGCUCCCACGUGUCGAGGCACAACUUAGAGGCAUAACCGCAUUGAAAGCAAUGUCGCAAGUUAGGCAAUCUUCACAACAUCCCAUGUAAUAUAGAUAAUAAAAGGGGAGAUACAUAGUUGGCUUACACUCGCCACGUCAAACAAAGUACAUAAAUAGCAUUACAACAAUCAAACACUCAUGGCCCGACUACGGCGCCAAAAUAAAAGAUAAACCCAACAUGCGACACGGUCCCGAUCACCCCCAACAGGGCACCACUACUGAUCAUUAGGGAAAGACACAUAGUAACGGCGUGAGUCCUCGUCGAACUCCCACUUGAGCUCAAGCGCGUCAUCUGGAACGGAAUCAUCAGGCCCUGCAUCUGGUUUGGAAGUAAUCUGUGAGCCACAGGGACUCAGCAAUCUCGCACCCUCGCGAUCAAGACUAUUUAAGCUUAUAGGUAAGGCAAGGUAAUUAUGUGGAGCUGCAACAAGCGACUAGCAUAUAUGGUGGCUAACCUGUUCGCAAAAGAGAGCGAGAAGAAAAGGCAAAGCACGAACGAAUAACUAGGGGGCAUCCUGCGGCAAGCAUUACUCCAACACCGUGUUCACUUCCCGGACUCCGCCGAGAAGAGACCAUCACGGUAACUCACACAGUUGAUUCAUUUUAAUUAAGUUAAGGUUCAAGUUAUCUACAACCGGACAUUAACAAAUUCUCAUCUGCCCAUAACCGCGGGACGGCUUUCGAAAGUUCAAAUCCCUGCAGGGGAGUCCCAACUUAGCCCAUGACAAGCUCUCACGGUCAACGAAGGAAUAGACCUCCUCCCGAGGCAUUCCGAUCAGACUCGGUAUCCCGGUUCUACAAGACACUUUGACAAGUUAAAACCAAUCCAGCAACACCGCCCGAAUGUGCCGACAAAUCCCGAUAGGAGCUGCACAUAUCUCGUUCUCAGGGCACACUCAGAUUUUCUAAACUUCCGGUAGGCCAGCCCAGAGUUGCCCCUGGUGGCCACCGGCGGCUGACGAGGUGGACCAACACUCAGAGGAGCACUGGCCCAGGGGGGUUUAAAAUAAGAUGACCCUCGGGCUCCGGAAACCCAAGGGAAAAAGAGGCUAGGUGGCAAAUGGUAAAACCAAGGUUGGGCAUUGCUGGAAAAGCUUUAAUCAAGGCGAACUAUCAAGGGAUUCCCAUUAUCACCCAACCGCGUAAGGAACGCAAAAAUCAGGGAACAUAACACCGAUAUGACGGAAACUAGGGCGGCAAGAGUGGAACAAAACACUAGGCGAGAGGCUGGGCCUUCCACUCUUUACUAAGUAUAUAGAUGCAUUAAGAUAACAAGGCAAUAUAAUGAUAUCCCAACAAGUAAAUAAUGUUCCAACAAGGAACGGUCUCCAAUCUUCACCUGCAACUGGCAACGCUAUAAGAGAGGCUGAGCAAAGCGGUAACAUAGCCAAUCAAUGGUUUGCUAGGACAUGGUGGGUUAGAGGUUUGACAUAGAAAUUUGGGAGGCAUGAUAAGCAAGUGGUAGGCAUCGUAUCAUAGGCAUAGCAAAAGAGCGAGCAUGUAGCAAAGCAAAGAUAGUAGUGACUUCGAGGGUAUGAUCAUCUUGCCUGCAAAGUUGUCAGAGUUGACUGGAUCCUCGAAAGCAAACUCAACGGGCUCCUCGUUAGCGAAAUCGUCUCCCGGCUCUACCCAAUCAAGACAAACAAGCAAACGGAACGCAAUCAACCACGUGCAAAGCUCAAACAAUAUGAUGCAAAGAUGGUAUGCUAUGCGGGAUGCGAUAUGCGAUGUAUAUGCAAGAUUUGACAAGGAAUGCAUGAACUUGGCCUCAACAUGGAAAUCCAGGUGUGCCACUGGAAAGGUGAGAUGAAAUCGCUUGAAAAUGAUAUAAGGAACGCCGGAAUCGGAGUUACGGUUUGGAAUUGGCAAGCGAUUCAAAUAUGACCACGUUCUGCGAUUUACAGCAAGUAGCCAUCUAAAUGCAACAAGAUGAACAUGCUACAGCACCCAAACAUGGCAUCAAAAUACAUGGCAGGGAUCCAUUCAUGAUGCUUAACAAAAGAGGAACACUGAGCUACGGCCAAUUCAUCCAUUAACAGGUUGAAACAAGCAUGGCAAAAAUGCAUUUGGCAAACAGAUUUCAGACUUGGUGAAAUUAACACUUGUCUGGAAUUUCAGAUCAGAUGGCAAAAAUGCAUCAAGAUGAACUCAAAUGAAAAUGAUGCAAUGGCAUGAAAUGAUGUGCUCUCUGAUACGAACAUUUUGAUAUGCUAUAUGCCCAAAACGGAGCUGCGGAUGCGGAGUUACGAUGCGAUGAACAAUGCCAAAUAAUUAGGGUUUCAGGCAAAAAAUCAACCGGAUCUAGAUCUGGGCACUGUAGCAGCACGAGUCUCGAGGUUCACCGGAAAUGGACGACGCGGUGGCCGGACUUGACGCGGUCGCCGGAGAGAGAAGACGCCGGAUCUGGGCGGUGGAGUCGAGGGCGAGGCGGCGGUGAUGGCGGGCGGCUCGGGCGGCGAGCGGCACGGCUCGGCCGGGGACGNNNNNNNNNNNNNNNNNNNNNNNNNNNNNNNNNNNNNNNNNNNNNNNNNNNNNNNNNNNNNNNNNNNNNNNNNNNNNNNNNNNNNNNNNNNNNNNNNNNNNNNNNNNNNNNNNNNNNNNNNNNNNNNNNNNNNNNNNNNNNNNNNNNNNNNNNNNNNNNNNNNNNNNNNNNNNNNNNNNNNNNNNNNNNNNNNNNNNNNNNNNNNNNNNNNNNNNNNNNNNNNNNNNNNNNNNNNNNNNNNNNNNNNNNNNNNNNNNNNNNNNNNNNNNNNNNNNNNNNNNNNNNNNNNNNNNNNNNNNNNNNNNNNNNNNNNNNNNNNNNNNNNNNNNNNNNNNNNNNNNNNNNNNNNNNNNNNNNNNNNNNNNNNNNNNNNNNNNNNNGCUUGAGGGCUUCGCCAGCGCGGGCGAAGAGACGCGUGGGCGGGCGGCGCGAGGGAGCGGGCCGCGGGGGCCGGCUCCGGGCUCCUGGGCCGCGCGGCGGCGGGGACAGGUGAUGUGGGCGCGGCGCCACAUGGCGGACGUUGAUUGGCGCGGGCCAGCGGAUCUGGACGUGUCCGUCGGUGGCGAAGAUGUCCGGCGGCGGCGCGGAGAGUUAGGGUAGGUUUGCACCGCGAAUUUUUGGAGGGGGAGGUGUAUAUAUAGGCGAGCUAGGAGAGUCCAAAUAAGGUGCGGUUUUCGGCCACGCGAUCGUGAUCGAACGCUCUAGAUGAUGGAGAGGGUUUUGGUGGGUUUUGGUCCAACUUGGAGGGGUGUUGGGCUGCAACACACACAAGGCCUUUUCGGUCCCUCGGUUAACCGUUGGAGCAUCAAACGAAGUCCAAAUGGUACGAAACUUGACAGGCGGUCUACCGGUAGUAAACCAAGGCCGCUUGGCAAGUUUCGGUCCAAUCCGGAAAUGUUUAAACCCCACACACGAAAGAAAGGUAGAAAUGACCACCGGAGGAGAACGAAGCGCCAGAAUGCAAAAUGGACAACGGGGAAUAUGCUCGAAUGCAUGAGAUGAACAUGUAUGCAAAUGCAAUGCACAUGAUGAUAUGAUAUGAGAUGCAUGACAAUGAUAACAACACACGGAGACAAUAACCCGAACCCGAGAAAAUAAAAUAACUUAACGUCGGAAACGGCAAGAGUUGGAUUACAUAUUGGGUAAUCAUAUCCGGGGUGUUACAGUAGCCUCGCUCGCUGUAGACAUUACAUCAAACAUGGAUGGAUCAAGAUUGGAGCUGGGCAGAAGAAAGGGCCACUUUGCAUAGAUUAGUGUCUUACUGGAAGGAGUACUUUUGGAUCACCGCCUCAUGCCGAAGCUCCUCUAACCCCUCGGCCGCCAGCCAUGUGUGCCGCUCCAGGCAAGGCACGCUACAGGCCAGCAGACGCUUGGCAAAGCGUUGGCAUCGCACGCACAUAGGCGCGGACACAUGCAUGACUCCAACGUUCCUGCUGCCCAUGAUGAUGAGAGGCGCGAGGUGGCGAGGCAGAGGGUGCUUGGACUUCUUUCGGACGGCCAGGCCAGGGUUGUGAAUUGGGUUGGAAGCGUUGAACCCUUUGUCUCGGGCCGCAUGUUUAUAUAUAAUGGCAAUGCCUUGGAGUACAAGAAGAGAUCAAGAGAUCGAUCUCAGGUUGGUUUGGUUCGGUACAGGAGGGAGAAGAAGAAAGGAGAUAGAGAUAGAGAUAGAUUACAAUUUGAAUGAAACUAUCCUAUACAUAUUCUAACACCCCCCCCCCCUCAAUCUAAACCUCAUGAACUUUGACCAAGGUUGAGAUUGUACUUGAACUCAUCUAACCUCCUCAUAGUGAGAGGCUUUGUGAAUCCAUCAGCAAGUUGAUCUCCAGUAGGAAUGAACUGAAUUUCAAGGAGCUUUCUAGCUACUCUUUCUCUGACAAAGUGGAAAUCAACUUCAAUAUGCUUUGUGCGUGCAUGAAAAACAGGAUUAGCUGACAGAUAGGUUGCACCAAUAUUAUCACACCAUAAUCUGGUUGCUUUUGGAGUCUUAAUUCCAAGUUCAUAAAGCAAUGUCUGUAUCCACAUUACUUCAGCUGUGGCAUUUGCCAAAGCUUUGUAUUCAGCCUCAGUACUUGAUCUAGAGACUGUAGCCUGCUUUCUUGCACUCCAUGACACAAGAUUGGAUCCCAGAAAUACAACAAAUCCACCAAUUGACCUUCUAUCAUCAAUACAUCCUGCCCAGUCUGCAUCAGAGUAGGCAGUAACAAGCAUAGAAGAAGACUUGAUAAUUUGAAGUCCAAGUCCUUCUGAAAACUACUCUCCUGAGUAUGUCAGCUGUGAUAGGUGUAUUCAACAGAGAGUUUUUCAGAAGUUGAGAUAGGUGUACUCACAGGUUUACAUUUUUCCAAACCUACUCUCCUGAGUAUGUCAGCUGUGUAUUUUCCCUGUGUCAGAAGUAUACCAUCUCUUAUCUGUUUGACCUCAAUACCAAGAAAAUAAUGAAGAUCUCCCAAGUCCUUGAGGGCAAAUUCUAACUUAAGAUCCUUAAGAAAACAAGUGGUGGCACUUGAACUCGAGCUAGCAACAAUAAUAUCAUCAACAUAAACCAGCACAAAAAUAGUGACAUUUCCUUUAUUGUAAAAGAACAAGGAUGUGUCUGCUUUGGAUGGUACAAAUCCAAGUUGUUGUAGUUGCAUGCUCAAUCGUGAAUACCAAGCUCUUGACGCCUGUUUUAAACCAUAUAGAGCUUUAUCCAACUUACAAACAUAGUGUGGUGUACCUUUGUUUUCAUAACCUGGUGGCUGCCACAUGAACACCUCUUCCUCAAGAACACCAUGAAGAAACGCGUUCUGAACAUCUAGCUGUCUUAAGCUCCAACCUUUGAAAACAACAAUAGACAAGACAAGUUGAAUGGUGGCUGAUUUAACAACUGGACUAAAAGUAUCCUCAUAGUCAAUCCCAAACCUUUGCUUAAAGCCUUUAGCAACUAAUCUAGCCUUGUACCUGUCUAUACUUCCAUCUGACUUCCUGUUUAUCUUGUACACCCAUUUACAAUCAAUAACAUUCAUUCCACUUUUUGAUGGUACUAGGUGCCAUGUUUUAUUUUUCAUAAGUGCAUCAUACUCACUAUCCAUGGCCUCUUUCCAAUCUUUGUGAGCAAGGGCAUCAACUAGAUUAACUGGUUCACCAAUAGUAGUGAGAAAAGCACGUUUUUAUCAUACCUAAUGGUGCCAUCUUUGUAUUCCUUUUCCUUAGUAAUACCUGAUUGUGACCGUGUGUGACGUCGAGGAAUAAUUUGUGCAGCAGAAGAGGCGUCCAUAGAAGAUCCAGCAUCCUGCACACGCCCAACAGCCGCGGGAUCACGCGCCAGAUCCUCUGCAGACAGGAUCGGCCUCAGGAUCGUUCCACCAGCAGAAACGGGCCGCAUGUCGCGUGAGGACUCCACACGGGUGGACGUGCGCAUCGGGGCCCGUGGGCUGGACCCAACCGCGCUCGCCCGGUCGGGCGGCUGGUCGGCCACCCCCGCGGACCAUGGGCUCGUGGCAAGCGGGGAUUCGCCCCAGGUCCCGUCUGUGCUGGUGGGCUCCGCGCGGUCGCUAUCGGCCACCGAGUCAUGCACCGUCUCCGCAUGCAGGUGGGCAGGAUCCUCCUCGGAUCAUGCGCUAAUGAUUGCGCUGACGCUGGCGCCAGGAUUCGCUUGGGAUCGCGUGCUAGAUCGCCUGCUGCCGCCAAAAUCCUCCUCAUGAUCAGCAACGCCUAUAUUGUCUGUUUCUGGACACAUAAAAUCAUGAGCUGCAUUUGUACAAACAUCAUUAGAGCUUCAAUUUUCUGCGGAUUUGUUCACAUGGUCAGCUUCAGAUAAUUCACCCCCGUGAUCAGAUAGUGUGUCAAGAUCCGGAAGAAGUGCUAUUUCGGCACGGAGAAGAGCGCCUGUGUUGGGAUGAAGCUUGGCAAACCGAAAGAGAGUUUCAUCAAAAAUUACAUCUCGAGAAAUAUAUAUACGUCCGGUGAAAAUUUCUAGGCACUUGUAUCCCUUGUGUAGAUUACUAUAGCCUAGAAAAACACAUUGAGUGGAACGGAAUUAAAGUUUGUGAUGAUUAUACGGACGUAAGUUGGGGUAGCAAGCACACCCAAAAGUUUUAAGGGAGUUGUAGUCUGGUUUUUGAUGGUAUAGAAGUUCCAAAGGAGUGGAAUUGCCAAUAACUUUACUUGGAAGACGAUUAAUGAGAUAUGUUGCUAUAAUAAAUGCUUCAUCCCAAUAUUUUAGAGGCAUAGACGCAUGAGCAAGUAGGGAGAGUCCAACUUCAACAAUGUGACGGUGUUUGCGCUCGGCAGAACCGUUCUGUUGAUGAGCAUGAGGACAAGACACAUGGUGCUGAAUCCCUAUGCUACGGAAGAAAGAGUUGAGUUUUUCAUACUCCCCUCCCCAGUCACUUUGGACUGUUAGAAUUUUUCUGUUAAAGUAUCUUUCAACCAGUUUCUGAAAUUCUUGGAAGACAGAGAAAACCUCAGAUUUAUAUUUGAGUAAAUAAAUCCAAGUGAACUUGCUAUAAUCAUCAAUAAAACUAACAUCCAAAGGAAUCUCUUGCAUGACCCCAUACAUCACUGAAAAUAAGCUCUAAAGGAGCAUGAGACACACUAUUUGACUUGGGAUAAGGAAGUUGGUGGCUCUUGGCACACUGACAAGCUUCACAAACUGACUCACUAUUUUUACUCUGUGACAAAGAAAGUUUGUCUCUAUUGACUACUUGCUUAACUAUGAUUGAUGAUGGGUGUCCUAAUCUUUGAUGCCACCUUCCCAAGGAGGGUUUAGUGGUAGAAUAAACUUAACGCUGAUUGCGACUGAGUGCUCCAGAUGUGAUGGGGUAGAGCCCUCCAACGCAUCUACCGUGAUGAAGAAGUUCCCUCGUUGCCUGGUCCUUUAUAAAAAAGUAACGAGGGUGAGUUUCAAAGAAGACGCUAUUGUCAGUGGCUAGACGAGACAUGGAUGCAAGAUUUUUAUCAGCUUGUGGGACAUGAAGAACGUCUUUAAGAACUAGAUCACGUUUAAGGUUGGGGGAAUUAAUGUAAGCUUGUCCAAUGUGACAAAUAUCCAUACCUCCACCACUUGCCGCAAUGUGAAUCUGGUCGCCACCAUGGUAUCUCUCACGAAGUGCAAGUUGCUCCAACUCGCUGGUGACAUGAUCUGUUGCACCCGAGUCCAUGUACCAGACGCCAUCUCCUCCUCCUUCUUCAUGGAUGGCAGCAACAACAUGACAAGCGUCGGGGACGAAGUCUUCAUCAUACCUGUGCCAACAGUCCAUGACCUCAUGGCCUGACUUUUUGCACAGCCGACAACGAGGGCGGCGAUUUGAGGAGGAGCGGCGGCGGCUGUUGUUGUUGUUGUUGAAGCCGCCACCUCCAGAGUUGUUGCCACCACUAGAACGAGCACCCUUGCCCUGGUAGUUGCCGCGCCCGCAUCCGCCACCGUUGGAGCUGCGGUUCUGUCCCUGGUGACCGCGCACACGGCCGCACCCGCGAGCCGCCGAGUUGACGAAGGACUGUCUAAUGUUGGCGCCGUGGAGGAGGGCGAGGCGAGCAUCAAAGCUCAAGAGCUGGCUGUACAGCUCCUGAACCGAGACUGGCUCAACCCUAGCAGACAGAGCGGACACGACUGGAUUGUAGUCCAGAUCGAGGCCAACCAUGAUCUUGGAGACUAUCUCUGGAUCGGGAAGAGGAACUCCGGUGCAGCAUGCAACUUCAUCUGUAAGGGUUUUAAUUUUGCCAAGAUAUUCUACCAUGGACAUGUUACCUUUCUUCAAGUUCGUGAGCUCGAUGCGGGUGUUGAUGGCCUAACUCUGGCUCUGGGCGGCGAACAUAGCAUUGAUGGCGCUCUAGACCUCUGCUGGCGUCUGAAGGGUGGCAACUUGAGCGAGAAUCUCACGGGACAAAGAUCCCAUCAGAUACCCCUGAAGUUGCUGCUGCUGCGUGUACCAGAGGGUUCGGGCGAAGUUGACGACCUGUUCAUCUUUUCCAUCUUUGGUGAUGGUGAGGGUGGCCGGUGGUUCCUGGCUCGUCCCAUCAAGGUGGCGCUCCAUCUGUGCACCUCGGAUUUGCGGGAGCACGACGACCUUCCAUAAGAGGAAGUUUCCCCUUGUUAGCUUCUCCUGUGGGGUCGGUCCGAGAGGGAUAGAGCUGCUGCUAGAUGAUGAUGCGAAGGUGGAGGCUGUGGAGGAGGAAAGCGCGCUCGUGGUGGAAGAUAGGGCUGCAGAGGAAGACAUGAUCUCGGCCGCGGGAAGGUAGCUAGAUGCGAUCUUCGAUCUAACAGGAAGAUGCUCUGAUUACCAUGUGAAUUGGGUUGGAAGCGUUGAACCCUUUGUCUCGGGCCGCAUGUUUAUAUAUAAUGGCAAUGCCUUGGAGUACAAGAAGAGAUCAAGAGAUCGAUCUCAGGUUGGUUUGGUUCGGUACAGGAGGGAGAAGAAGAAAGGAGAUAGAGAUAGAGAUAGAUUACAAUUUGAAUGAAACUAUCCUAUACAUGUUCUAACAAGGGUCUGUGGCUUCAUGAUCAGCGACACCACGAGAUUGGGCAAUUAGAUUGUAUAUAUUUUUAGUUAAAGAGAUAAAGAUCCAGACACCACGUUUAUAUGGAAGGAGACCGCUGGAGAUGAGUAGAUAGAGUUUUUUUAAACAGGGUAUAAUAAAUAGAUAAGAUUGCUUUAGUUUUUUUUUGAGAAACUGAUCAAGAUUGCUUUAGUUUAAGGAGGAAGAAACGGUGGGUUAGUAACAAUAUGAACGUGUCUUACGUGAAUUGAUUUUUACAAUCGACGUGCAUGAUCGUGGGCGUUCCAAAGUUUUUUUUCACAACGGAGCAAAAUAUUAAUGGAGAACUACAUGCGUUGAUCUACACCAUGAUAACCUAGUCCCACCAGAUCAACGGCUUGUAAUUUAUAAUUAACGUGGUAAUUUCUUGGGAGUCACAAAUUAGUAUAGGUAUAGAUAGAUAGAUAGAUAGAUAGAUAGAUAGAUAUGGGGCAAAUCUUUAUAAGGUUAUUGUCUAUUAGGUCAAAAUCAGCUCUGACACUUGACGGUAGGUGUCGGUAGUAAAGUAAGCAGAUCUCGGGUAGGGGAGCCCGAGUUGUGGAUCUCGGGUCGAGGGGUAACAACAGACGAACGAGACAAUCUUUACCUAGGUUCAGGCCCUUUCGAAGAGGUAAAACCCCACAUCUUGUUUUGAUUGUAUUUAGUGGCGAAGCUAGCACGCGACCCUGGGCACUUGCCUGGGCUAGCUGGGUAAGCGACGUUGUACUAUGGUUGUUACAAAUGGCCCAAUCCACCUCUCCAUCGUCUGGUUUCCCGGGCAAAAUUCUUCUGGGGUCCUUUCUCGAUAGUGGGCUUCAUGAAGUGUCUGGCUUCUUGAUAAUCAGCAACGGGCCUUGGCCUACAAAGCGCAGCCAGGAAUGCGUGUUCGUUUACACUAAAAAAAGAUUACCAAUGCGAUUGCUCCACGUCCUAGCCUGUUCGGCUGUUUGCCCCACUCUCCACGACUGCAUAUCAUGGAUGCGGAGACCGACUGGCGGCAAAGAACGGCUGGUGGACGUGCUACUAUUGGUAGCGAGGGGAGCGACUGAAUCCAUCCCCAGAAAGGAUCUUCUACUACUUGUUCUCUCCUUUGUGGUUAGGUCAAAUUGUGAACUGAUCUUGCCAUCCGGGCAUCGAUUUGGGGCUUAAAUAUUGAUGUUAGUACGUGUGGAAUUAUCCAUUGUGAAUCAUCAGUACUCUGUGAGCCUAGUCCUUGAUUUAGUCAUUUUUGUUCUAGAUAGUUGACGGUUAAUUUUAAAAUUUGAACAAUGAAUUUUCAGAGAUUUUUUUAGGGGAAUUAAUUUUAAGAGAUUGGGAGGUAUUUUGUGAGCAAAGCAAGGAAAAUGUGAAUGGUGAGCAACUGAAAACAGAAGUAGAGUCACGUCAAAAAAAGAAAAGAAAAUAGAAGUAGAGCCACAUCCACAUACUAAGUUGCCAAAUGAGUUUAAUACAAAUGAGAUUGAGCGUGAUCCUAGAAAGGGAAACAUUUUAUUUUUGUGAAUACCAUCCUAAUUUCCAUACCAAGUGACGCAAGCAUACAUAUUGAAAUUUGCAAGGCCCAAUUUAACCAGAUCUGACAAAAUUUGUCGUAAUGAACGAAUGGUUUAAUGACUUGAUGGUAUGUUACACCAAGUGUGAGUUAUGGGUAAUGCUACACUUACGUAAUGAAACUUAUGUGUUCUACGUAAAAGAGAACGUGGAUACUUAGGAUUGGAGAAGGGGGAGGAGGGGGCCCCACNNNNNNNNNNNNNNNNNNNNNNNNNNNNNNNNNNNNNNNNNNNNNNNNNNNNNNNNNNNNNNNNNNNNNNNNNNNNNNNNNNNNNNNNNNNNNNNNNNNNNNNNNNNNNNNNNNNNNNNNNNNNNNNNNNNNNNNNNNNNNNNNNNNNNNNNNNNNNNNNNNNNNNNNNNNNNNNNNNNNNNNNNNNNNNNNNNNNNNNNNNNNNNNNNNNNNNNNNNNNNNNNNNNNNNNNNNNNNNNNNNNNNNNNNNNNNNNNNNNNNNNNNNNNNNAAAUCGUUUCAUAGCUUCUCGUAGAUGUAGGAUUAUCGGGGAGUUAUUCAAGUCACUUGAUGAUAGGGAUAUACCAUAAUGAAGUCUUGGGAAGGCCAUUUUCCUCGUGAUAUUCUUUACCACAUGGUUGGUAUGUUUCAUCUGACCAUCUAUAUUCUUCCAAACUAUUGAAUAUAUUAAAAAGUGACAACACUUCAUUUAUGUGAAUUAAAAUUUCAAUUUUUAUAUUGUAGUGUCUUCUAUAGCGUUUGGAUGGUAAUUUAGAUGUCUAUACUUCCGUUGACAACAUGGCGAGUUUGGUAUAUAUGACCUAGUUCUAGGACUUAUGUUGUCAAGUCUCAACUUUAUUUUGGUCUACGAAACUGAAUAUCGAUCUAUUAUAUAUUAGUUAAAUUUUAAAUUACAUCUGUAUUUUCACUUCAUUAUUAAUGUAGAUUAAUGGUUCAGAAGUUUGGAGACGUUUUAUAUGUUAUGUAUCCGAACACCCAAUUUUUAUUUAUAUACUAAACACUUAGGCUCAAGUUUGCCCAGACUUCACAAAAGUUCUGGCUCCGCCACUGAUUGUAUUGAUGAUGAUGUAUCGAGUACAGGCUUGAUCUACCUCAAGAUCGUAUGUCGAGUUCUAACCCUAAGGUGAGUAAUUGCGAUUGUCCCACUACGGGCUAAACCUUCCGGUUUACAUAGGCAUCAGGUGUAUCUAGGGUUACAUAUGGUUAGUUGCCAAUUAGGGAAACACAUGCUGAUAGCUGAAGCAAUCCUUGUGGUACAUGUCAAGUCUUCGGCAGAGUUCAUCUUAAUCACGCCAAGGUUUGAGGCUUCUGGAGUCCUUACUUAUGAGAUCGGUGGGCCAUAAGCUUGGCCCAUGGACUGUGGGCCAACUAGGUUGCUACCCCUGGUCAAGGACACCGUCAGUAGGGUAAGUGGAUUACUGAACAAAUACUACAAGAAAAUAGAUGAUUUCUCUCAUUCCAAAUGUUUCAUAGGGCAUAAAUAGGAUGGCACCUAUGUUUCUUAGAAAAACUUAUAGUCUCCCCACUGGUGACACUAAUAUAGAUUAAUAAAUACUAGAUAGAACUUGGAAAUCCGUUGGUGCUGCCGGGAGCACGCGGUCCUGCGUGCGCUAAUAUUUAUUGAAAUGUCGAAAAAAUCCAACAAAAAUUCUAUGUGUUCUUUGUUAUAUCCAAAAGCUACAUACAAAUUUGUAGGCCAAAAGAUUAAACAUUUUGGUCUAUGCAAAAUAAACAAAAUAAACACCAAAUCUUACCCCAAAAUGUCACCCUAAAUUUAUUUAUUUCACCGGCGGAACACCGCUGCUCCGUUUCACAUUAAAAAUUUCAAGGAUGCUUGUGACACUAAGACGAAUAUCUACAAAAAAAUCAGACUUUUUUUAAAACAUUUACUAUAUUUUUUUACUAUUCAUGCGAGAGCGCGCGCUCCCAGGAGUCAAAACGCCAUUCUCAAACAGAACUAGAUAAAACAGAUACUCACCAUGCCUAUGGCCCACCUACUCACAUACUACUCUCCACGCCAUUAUAUGUAUAUACACAAAUGUAGUGCUGCUAGAGUGUGUGGGUGUCGAAUUCGUCUACAUACACAGAAAUAUACGGAAAUGGCAGCCACAACCCACAACAUGCUGAACAGAUCGAGCUCGCAAGUAAUUAAGCACUCUAUUUCGACCCUAUAUGUGUUAUAGCUAGGAGUAUCAUUGUUUCUAUAUCGGAAAUCAGAAGAAGAAAGGGGCCAAGAAAUAUUUUUUGAAUUUCUCCCCACAUUUUCAUGGAAGAAAACCAUGUGUAUCGAAUACAGUGUUACUCAAAACCAAUGUUUCAUUUUCAGCUACAUUGAUAUACAUUUACAAUGCUAGUGCGCUGCACAACAUCAGACACAAACACAACUGUCCCAAUCAGACUCGGAUUCAGAUGUCUAAUUCGACCAUCAGACAUUUCCGUGUAGCCGAAGACAAUCUGACAUGGAUAUGUGUGUUAAAUUAAUCGUAGUCCUAGAGGAUUGGGCAUGACUGAAAGGUUGACAUGGCAGUUAUCAAUCGGAGAAGGAUACAAGUGUAACAACCGGACUUAUAUUUAUUUGAUCAUCCGACUUAAUAUUUUUGAAGGAAGAACCUACCUCAUGAAACAUAUAUUGGUUAUAUAUAAAUUUACCCCUUAUAGGUUUCUAUACCUACCUAUACUAAUUAGGCACUUCUAAGAAAUUACCAUAUUAAUUAGAAAAUAAGAGCUGUUUAUCUGGUGGGACCGAAUUAUUACGGUGUAGAUUAACCCACAGAAUCAUUUUUUUCCAAAGAAAUCGAAGAUAAAAUAGCAAUAGAUCAAGGGGUUGUGUUUGCGUACGUUCAGAUUCAAUGCAACUAACGCAUGUUGUAGGCCCAACACAUCACGUACCCUCCAUGCCUCCUAAACAAAUCGCGGUUGAUUGUAAAAAAAAUUGCUUGAAGGCCCGCAAUUGUUUUAAUCCACCGUUUCUUCACCUCUAAUCAAGGCAAUCUCUAUCUCUUCAGAAGAAAAAAGGAUCUCUAUCUCUUCCGAAGAAAAACCAAUCUCUAUCUAUUCUUCUACUCCAAGGUCUCUUCCUGUUUAGUACUCCACGACUUCUUCUUCUCCAUGAUCUCUCUCUCUCUCUCUCUCUCUCUCUCUCUCUCUCUCUCUCUCGCCAAUGAAAAACAAAUUCAUGGGGGCAUGGAUUCGGUGUGCUCAUCCAUACAAAGCAGAUCUCCUAAAAAAUUAUAUCCAGGAGUCCUACGACAUAAGGAUUCUGUCCUCGAUAGAACUAUGUCGCAACUGCAAGCUGGAGAAGCCGUCUGUGUCUGUUCAUAUCAACAGUAGCAGGCGGCCACCAAUCUCCUCUCUUUCGAAUCAGGUUCGUGCGUUGCUCAACCAGUAUAUUUACUACAGAAUCCCUUGGUCCACUACGAUUGAUUUGUGCAAGAAAUUUCCAACGCCUGGUCUUAUUUCAUCAAGUACGUACUAAGCAGUCUAUAAACCUACAAAUUAAGUAAUUAUAAAAUAUCAAUGUGCUGCUUAUAAUCUGCACGCGUGUGUACCCUAUAGGUGCAGAUGCCAAAAGUAAUGAACCGACUUUCCAAAAAUCUAGGCUGCUCUUACUGGAAAAACAUAAUCUAAUUUGAGUUGAGUGCAACUCCUCUAGGGCGCCCGGGUUGGAAUGGUAGGUGUUGUGAAGUGUUGCAGGGAGGAGAAAGUGUUGCACCGCGUUGUAUCCUUUAUGCCUUCCCUUGCAAAUGACAUCCGAGGAGCUCAUGGCAAAAAAGAUAAAAAAAAUAGUGUAUGUAUGUGCGCCGCUUCAGGUGGUUUUCAAACCCUCGGAUGUCAUUUCAGCACGAAAAUUUGCAUGCACGUUGCCCACCUGAGAAUCUUCGACGAAUUUUUUUCCAGAUUUUUUUGAUUUUUUGAAUUUACUAUUCAUCAAGGAGUACAUUUAGUUUUGUUUUUUUGCCGCGAGCUCCUCGAACGUCCAAACAUGACAAGAAUUGGCACGCACCUUGUGCACCUGAUUUUCUCUAGCGUAAAUUUUUUUUCAGAUUUUUCAGAUUUUUUGCUAUUUUUUAUUUUAUUGUUCAUCUGUGCAUUGUUCAUCCCGUGGUCAAAACCGGGUUAACUUGGCGGCGAAACCCCGCAGGGACCAAAAGCGGCUGGUUUCGAGAGUUCGUGAUGCAAUCUGUCCGGUUUUAGAGUUGAGGGACUAAAAGUGAGCAAACCGAAGAACUGAGGGACGAAAAGUGGACUUUUCUCAAAUACUUAUCUGAGUGAUUAGAAUUAGACUAUGUGCCACGCCGAGGUUAUACUUGGAGUUAAUGUUGAUCAGCACCAAGGAUGUAUACAUUCAUAUUUUGUUCAUUUUUUUAUGUGUGUUGUCUAUAGUUUUCAUAUGCAACCGUUUUUUAACUGUAGACUUGAGCGAGUUUGAUCUGGACCCAAUGGAUUGAUUAGUCUCUCUUAUGAGAAGGAGAGAAUUCCUUAUUUGGCUCUCUCUUAAAAUUUGGUUCCCUUUUUGGCCCUAAAAAGAAAAAUCUUUCUUUUUUGACACUCAAACUUCAUUUUGUUCCCUUUGUGACAUUUCCGUUAGUUUUGACAACUAACACCGUUAAAUACGACAUGAAAAGUCCAUUUUACCCUUGAUGUAUUUUGUGACCAAAAUUGUGAACUAGAAGUCAAAAGCAAUGGCAAUAUGAACGGGAAUAUAUUACCGAAUGAAACAAAAUCUACUAUUUAGCAUAUCUGCAUAACAAUUUUUAAUUCAAAUAACAUCUUCAAUUUUAAUUGAAAAAUUGGACAGAGCCUCCCUUGUAUUUUGAUGCCAUAUCCUCUGUACAGUUCACAUAUGCACAAAUUAUCACAUAUUUGGUACAGCUUCACAUAUAUGCGAACAAAAGAAUCACACAUACUUGGCCCAGGUUUACAUAUAUGCAAACAGUCAACAUAUUUGGUCCUCCACACACAUAAAGGUGACGUACAAUAGUCCAGGUCCACAACAGGUUACAUAUAGUACGUACAAGAGCCCAGGUCACAUAAACAGCUCAAAAGUUUCCAAAAUGAAACAUGAUAUGGUAAGUAAGAGAGAAAGUAAUCACAUCAGAAUCACAAACUAAGUCUUCUUUUGCUUCGUCUGUUCAUUGAUGGGCUAGCUGGGUUUUUUUUUUGCUACGUGUGCUCAUUGCAGGGCUGUCAAGUGGCACAAUAGGAAGGUGCGGAGUAAUUUCAACAACCUCUUUGCUUUUUCUUCUGGCAUGUACCUUCACAGCAACUUCCAAAUAACGAGGCGUGUACUGCUUUGUGAUUGAUUCAAAAAGUCCUUAUAAUUUGUUAAGUCAGAAUCAAUAACCAUAUCAUAACAAAAGUAUUUGACAUCCUUCCUAGCUUUUUGGGGGUUGCCAAGCAAUUUGAUUUUCAGUAAAUAAGUUGAGUUUGGAUCCACCCUGUGAAAGCAAAAGAUCAAUCUCUAAGUACACUAAUGCAUCUUCAGUCCAUCUCUAAGUACACUUUUUUUAUAUGAACAGUGGUGAAGCAAAUACUCAAAUCUAGAGAAGAGAGGCACUUACCCUUCUAGCCAUGCCGGAGUACUUGCAUCUGUGGCCGUCGCUGUGACGCCCGGAUAAUUAGGCUACAGUAAUCACACGUUAAUGAUGCCACGUCACCAUGGUUACUAUUGUUAAUCUCGCGUUAGUUCAGAACCGAUCCAAAUUCAAAUUUGAAACAAAGGCAAAACAUCAAAAGUUUUCAAACGUUAACACUAAAAUGUUCAAAAUGCGACAAAUAAAUCCUAAGUCAUAAUGGUGGAGGAACCACAUUUUUGUAGAAGGAUUAAAUGCACUAAAAUGGUUCAAACAAUAGCAAAAACAACUAUUUAAACGCCUUUGGUAUUUUAUAAAAUACUAAACUAUUUUAUAUCGGGCCAUAACUUUUUACAGUAGUGGAUUGUUCUGAAACGUUAUUUUAGGGGUUGUAGUCAUAUUUUACUAAACUAAAAUUAAUAUGUAACUAAAAUAAAACAGAAAAGAAAAAUAACGAAAAGUAAAACUAAAAAAGAAGACCAAACCCUCCCCCGGGGCCAACCGGCCCAGCUGGCCACUGGGCUAGCCAGGCCGGCCCACCUACUGGCCUACUUAGGCCACGCUGCUCCCAGCCAAACCCUAACCAACCACCUGCACCCCACUCACUCUCUCCCCCUCCCCCCCGAUCCAGUUCUGGAUCGGGAUCGGGCCAACGACCGCGCCCCGACGUCGGCUUCCCACCCCGUCGCCGCACUCCAACCGCCCCUGGCGCCGCCACCCGCCGGCGGCAAACCCCUCUCGUUCGCCGCACGCCACCGGUCGAGGCCACCUCGCCGCGGCCCGUCAUCGUCCCCCUCCCCAUCGUCGCCGCCUCGCCUCCUUGUCCACUCCCCGAGCGCCGUCAUCGGGCGCCGCCCCGACGUCGAGCUCCUCCGUCCUCGACCUCCUCCUCGCCGGAUCUGCGACGCCGACCCGUCGCCCGACCCCGACUCCUCCCCGCGCCUGCCUCGCUCAACUACAGGGCUUUGUGAGCCCCCUCCCCUUCUCCUCUCUGCCUUCCUCACCCGCCUGUUAGUUCGUCGUGGCGCCGCCGUGCUUGCCCGUGCUCGCGGACACUGCCGCCCCGCUCGUGCCCCGCCACGUCCGUCGCCGUCCGGGCGUGUGCCAAGCCCCGCCCGGCUCGCCCCGCUCACCUGCCGCCGCUCUCCCUCCGCUGUGCAGCCAUGCUGCUGCUGCUGCUCCGCAACGGGCGCCGCUCACCGUGCGUCCGCGCUGUUCGGGUCCCGCAUCGCCGUGCUGCCCCGCACUGGCCCGGUCGCACCACCCCCCUCCAGCCUGCGCCGCCCAUCCCCGGUGCUGCCCCGCCGUGGCCUCGCCGGUGCCAUCUCCGGCGCCCGGCGCCCCUCCGUGCCCACUGGCCCUCGUCCGGGUCGGGCACCUCCAGCGCCCCCUCGUCCGCACCCGCACGCUUGCGCGCCCGCUAACCCGCAUGGACCCCUUGGGUCUAUGACACAUGGGCCCUGCCCAGAACGUUUUUUAUAAAAAAAAUAAUAAGAAAAAGAAAAUAAAUAAAUAAAAUUAGUUAUUAAUUAAUUAAUUAAUUAAGUUAAUUAAUCAUGUUUAAUUAAUCUAAUUAACUAGUUAUAUUAAUUAAACGGUAAUUAGUUUAGCUAAAUCCUAGUUAACCUAAAACAGAGUAUGAUAGGUGGGUCCCACUGGACCCACAUGUCAGUUUGACUUAGUCAACCCCUGUUGACUGCUGAUGUCAACAUGACAUCAUGCUGAUGUCAUUAAUCCUGUUUCGAAUUAAAUUAAAUAAUUAAUUGAAUUCUUGAAAUUAGUAAAAUCUUUAGAUAAUCAUAUCUUUUAAUCCGUAACUCGGAUUAAAUUAUUUUCAACAUGAAAGUAACUCGGAUACGCAGGCCGUUCGUCCGCCACGUAUCCCUAGCAUACCGAACUCGCAACUUUCCCCCUCCGAUUCAUCUGUCCGAAAACACAAAACACCGGGAAUACCUUCCCGGAUGUUUUCCCCCUUCACCGGUACCACCUCGUACCACGUUAGGGCACGCCUAGCACCACGCUUUGUCAUGUCAUGCAUCGUCAUGCAUUUGUUUGCAUUGUAUUUAUUGUUUCUUCCCCCUCUUCUCUCGCUAGACACCGAGACCGACGCCGGUGCUACCCAGUUCGACUACGGUGUUGACGACCACUCUCUCUUGCCAGAGCAACCAGGCAAGCCCCCCCUUUGAUCACCAGAUAUCGCCUACUCUUCUCUAUACUGCUUGCAUUAGAGUAGUGUAGCAUGUUACUGCUUUCCGUUAUUCCUAUCCUGAUGCAUAGCCUGUCCUUGCUACUACUGUUGUUACCAUUACCUGCUAUCCUACUGCUUAGUAUAGGAUGCUAGUGUUCCAUUAGUGGCCCUACACUCUUGUCCGUCUGCCAUGCUAUACUACUAGGCCAUGAUCACUUCGGGAGGUGAUCACGGGAAAAUACUAUAUAGUUUACACAGUUACAUUACCUGUGGUACUGUUCGGAGUUGGGGGCUGAAGGGGCAGGUGGCUCCAUCCCGGUAGAAGUGGGCCUGUGUUCCCGAUGGCCCCCGACUGUUACUUUGUGGCGGAGCGACAGGGCAAGUUGAGACCACCUAGGAGAGAGGUGGGCCUGGCCCUGGUCGGUGUUCGCGGAUACUUAACACGUUUAACGAGAUCUUGGUAUUUGAUCUGAGUCUGGCCACUGGCCUAUACGCACUAACCAUCUACGCGGGGACAAUUAUGGGCACUCGACGUCGUGGUAUCAGCCGAAGCCUUCGUGACGUCAGCGAUUGAGUGGCGCGCGCCGGAUUGGACCGUAAGCCUGCUCUUGUAUUAAGGGGGCUAGUUCUGCUUCCGGCCGCGUACGCAACGUGCAGGUGUGCAAUGGGCGAUGGGCCCAGACCCCUGCGCCAUAGGAUUUAGACCGGAGUGCUGACCUCUCUGUUGUGCCUAGGUAGGGCUGCGACGUGUUGAUCUUCCAAGGCCGGGCAUGACCCAGGAAAGUGUGUCCGGCCAAAUGGGAUCAAGCGUGUUGGGUUAUGUGGUGCACCUCUGCAGGGAAGUUAAUCUAUUCGAAUAGCCGUGAUCUUCGGUAACAGGACGACUUGGAGUUGUACCUUGACCUUAUGACAACUAGAACCGGAUACUUAAUAAAAACACACCCUUCCAAGUGCCAGAUACAACCGGUGAUCGCUCUCUCAUAGGGCGACGAGGGGAGGAUCAUCAGUUAGGAUUAUGCUAUGUGAUGAUACUUGGAGGACUUCAGUCUACUCUGUUCUACAUGCUGCAAGACGGAGGCUGCCAGAAGCGUAGUCUUCGAAAGGACUAGCUAUCCCCCCUUAUCCCGGCUUUCUGCAGUUCAGUCCACAUAUAAUAGCCUUAUUCCAGUUGAUACCAAUGCAUACAUAUGUAGUAUAGCUCCUUGCUUGCGAGUACUUUGGAUGAGUACUCACGGUUGCUUUCUCCCUCUUUUCCCCCUAUCCCUUCUACCUGGUUGUCGCAACUAGAUGUUGGAGCCCAGGAGCCAGACGCCACCUUUGACGACGACUCCUACUACACCGGAGGUGCCUACUACUACGUGCUGCCCGCUGACAACGACCAGGAGUAGUUUAGGAGGAUCCCAGGUAGGAGGCCUGCGCCUCUUUCGAUCUGUAUCCUAGUUUGUUCUAGCCUUCUUAAGGCAAACUUGUUUAACUUAUGUCUGUACUCAGGUAUUGUUGCUUCCGCUGACUCGUCUAUGAUCGAGCUCUUGUAUUCGAGCCCUCGAGGCCCCUGGCUUGUAAUAUGAUGCUUGUAUGACUUAUUUUAUUUGUAGAGUUGUGUUGUGAUAUCUUCCUGUGAGUUCCUGAUCUUGAUCGUACACGUUUGCGUGUAUGAUUAGUGUACGAUUGAAUCGGGGGCGUCACAAGUUGGUAUCAGAGCCGACUGCCUGUAGGAAUCCCCCUUCCCAACUCCUUGGCCGAAGUCGAGUCUAGUCAUUGAAAAACUUUUACUAACAUGGCCGUGUGGCUUACGGGCCCACGUCGCCAUUGGGUGGUAUUAGGAUCUUUUACUGCUUGUCUAUACUCUGGAACUCUGAUCUCUCUUCUAUUUAGGUUAAAUGAAUUUUGCUAAAUCUAACAUUAGGAUCUCAUUAUCACUUUCACCCGGAGAGCCCCUUCAGGCCAGAUGAUCGCCAGUUGCACCAGAAGAUUCUGAAGACACUUCUCUGAUGCUUUCCCGAGACCCUUGUGCCCUUCGUCGUUGCAAUUCCAUACCACCGAUAAUCCCUAUGGAAAGCUACAUACACUUGUUGUCCAUAACUUCAUUCCCAGUUGAUCUUGUUAUUAUAAGAUACCUCGGAAAUUCUCUCUAUUGUUCCGAGAAUACUCUGUAUCUACUGCCUUGCAGUUCAUUAUCGACAUAUACACCCCUACGGAUAAUUUCUCACACUUACCGAGUAUCCGCCCAUCCCUAGUUGUUCAUGUGUUUCACUAAGUUCUUCAAAAUAAUAUUCGAUCUUCCGAAAAUCCUUAGCAGCUUAUUGCUUUUGAAAUUCUUGCUUACAAGCAUUACGAUUAAUCCCAUAAGUCUAGUAAUCUUGUUGGCAUCCAUUGUCAUUAUAAUUUUGAGUCCAUUGAUUCAAUUGUGAUUGCUUGCAAUCCUCAGAAGAAUCUUAGAAUUCUUUCUUCCAGCUCAGACGCCAUUUUAAACAUGAGCUGGAUCUCAACCAAUCAAAUUGUCAUCGAUUGUACCCCUAGGGCUAUUCAUCUUAUCCAUCCCUAAUCAGAGCAUUGCUUCUGACCCCUUGUCUUGGAAUUAAUAAUUCCUUUGCAUUUGAGCUUGAGUUAGUCAGUUAUUUCUAUAAUCUGAUUUCCUCGCAUUCCUUCUUCCUUUGGUUUGAGUACCGAUGCUCACAUCAUAUCCCUUAUGGACCACCAGACCCUUUGUCGGAUUUUAUCUGACAACGUCGUUCAUAUUCAAUAAGCUUGUGAGCCUUUCCUUAGAUACAUAAUGCCUUUGGUAAGUUGUAUCCUUUGCUUUGUCAACCUUGUUCUACUUUCGAGCUUGUAUUAUUUACUCCUGAAGUUUAUGGUAUAUGUUUCUACGAUGCCCUGAUGGGUUGAACCUAUGCCUUCCUUAAUCUUUGUGAACCCGAAAUUUCACGGGUCAUACUUAUCUGGUAUUGCACCAGGUAAAACUUUCAACAACCAAUGUCAUUUUCGAAAAGCGAGAGGUGAAUGGAAGGUUAUACAUUGAAGAAGUGGGAGUCAACCUUGAACUUGGGUUCAUGCCCAUGGACACGAUGUAGAUCCUAUCAUGGAAACUUCAUGUAAUAAUAACUAUUUCCUUGAUAUAAGUUCAUCUAGUAUCCAUGUUUGGUCCUUUGCAACCAUGGUUCCGACCAUGAUUGUUCUCCUUUGAUUCCAUUUCUCAGACAAGAUGAAGUACUUGUCUUCUGCAGAUCAUUUCACGUGUACACCGUCUACUCUGCUCUACCGUCGAGUAUUACACUCUGGUAUCUCAAGAAUAUCACCGAACUACGUAACUUCUUGUGAGUUCUUCAUCAACUAUUAUUUCUCGCUGAUUCCAAUUUUCUCCAGGUUUUGAGUUGUUUGUCACUCGAAACACCGAUAACUGAAUCAAGUCCGCCCUACGGUUCAACUACUCUUUGUAAUCCUUAUUACCUGCGAGUUGUACUCACUGAUGUCAUUCCCAGCCGAUUGGCUAGAUCAUGAUCGUCAUGUUAAAGAUUAAACUGUGCUAGAUGGUCCUUAUUCCCAGAGCACAACUUUCGAUGAUGAGCUAAGCUUACGUCGAUCUUCCUUGUCUUAUCGUUUCACCUCAAACAACAAGCUUGAUUUUGAGUUUGUGUCGUAUCUAUGGUUCCAAUAACCUUUGGCUUCAUCAUUCCUUUGACUUGAUGUCAUCUCUGAUCGAUUACAUCUUCAUAAAAUCUCUCGACAAUGGUGUCGUGAUCAUCAACAUUCUGGGUUCUUUCGAGAUAUCUAUCGAAUUAUUGAUAAGAAAUACCAUCCUUGCCCCUCGAUGAAUUGUGUUAUCAUCGGCUACUUUAUUUCCCCUCACUCCCACACAAACUUGUUCAUGUUUCAUGUAGUACCUUGAGUUUCUUGCUAUCAAGCAUUUGUUCUUCUUUACCUUGGAGUAUUACCAUCUUUUAUGUCAGGAAUGUCGUGAGAAUUUCACCACCUCUUAAAAAUUCUUGAUACUAGUGAUACUUCUUGCCAUCGUAGUUCAUUCCUUGCUCCCCGUGUUAUUUCUUACUCGGGAAACUGACAAUUGAACUAUGACGUGCGAAUUCGAAACUUCUAGCCACCCUAUUGCUUUGAAGUUAAUGGUCGCCAUUUCAUUCUUAGACCAUUGGUUAUCGAAUCACCAUUCUAACACUGAUCAUGCUACCUAUGCCUAUAUUUUGGGCGCACAUUUCAACCAAUGUUUAAUUGUGUAUGUUUUCCUCGAGCAUACAUCAUUAUACCAUUUGAUCUGACAAAUGUUAUCUUCUUGUUCACAUAGUUGUGGAAAUCCAUGUUUUGUUAAUCUCGAUGAAUUGUCGCUGAUUCCAUCAGCCACCUCCUCAUCCUCUCGUUGGUUUACUGAUGAACUCUUGGUUCGGAACUCGCUUCCGUAGUUCAAUUCCCGAGAAUCUUACAAUGUCACCUUGACAAUAUGUGUUGCACCUUUCUUCUCAGGCAUCCUGAGUCUAAGGUAUCCUAACACCAAUUAGAUCUGAAUAUCGGUCAGAUAUGAUGGUUGGAACAUAUUUUCAAGAGUUAUAACAUUGGUCCCUAUAUGCCCUGGUAAGGUGAUGUCAUGCCUAGCACACCUGACCAGAGGACCUAGUGUUAUAGUUUCCUUUUAACAAGGUUAAAUCAUUUUUCCAUGAGGAAAUUGAAUGCCUUGUUUAAUAAGUUUAUCCUGAUGGAUCCUUUGUGUAUCCAAAGUCCGAUCUUUGCUUGAAGACCAUGUCAAUACUAUCUCGAAGCAUGUCUAUGGUACUCCGAUUUUCAACAAGAACAUUUGAAGCCCAAUGCUAAAUGUUUCCUGCUCAAUUAUCCAAACACCGCUGUAUGGGUAAUAUCAUGAAAUUUCUCUCCCCUACCUAAAGAGUUUUCUACAUUAUAUCCUGACAUGGAUAUCAUGCUCUGUUUGUCCUUGGGAAGGUUAUACUCCUGAUAUAUGUGUUUAAACACAUUUUCCAUUCCAUUGUUCUGUUUAAUCUGAUAAUCACAUUUUUCUUUCUAUUGUUUUGUUUAACCUUCUUGAGGUUUAUAUGAUCUAAGCAGUAAUAAGUCACUGCUUUUGUAAGCACCUUGGUGUACAACUUUGUUAGUAAGAACCUGUUACUAUUGUUGAUGACAUUCCGGUAACCACCGAUGGACGAGAACUUUGCCCACUGGUCCGCCUCGUUCAACGAGCAGGAAAAUGGUUCUCUUCGUCCCUCGCCCUUGGUACCUAUCUUGUUGCCGACAUGACCGACAGGCUAUCCUCUGACUUGACUUGCUUAUAUGAUCGUACAAGAUUUCAUCACCCUUUCUACCUUCAACCCACAUGUUGGGCUCAUAACCCACAACUCCACAGGAUCGAAACCUGACUCUUCUGUACAACCCCUCUUCGCAAGGUUGUUCCUCGCGCGUGGCCUCAUAUGUAAUUCAUGGGUCAUCUUCUUAGAAAUCUACUUUCGUAUCAGACGCAAUACUUAUUCUCGUUGCUCUGGACCCCUUUCCCACUUUGUUCACGCAUCAAACGAUUGCCUACCCGCUUAAACUUCUCAUGGUAACUUCUUACUUUGCUCUCGAUUUUUUUUAAGUUUCAGUUCAAGAGUUACUUUCCGCCACCUUCCCCGAUGUUAGCUACCGGAUAAGCAACCGUGGAGAGUUCCGUUCUUUUGAGUUACCCCUUAUCAUUUUACGUAAGUACGAUGAAGUUCUUGAAGAAAGGAUGACGACUUCAUCAUGAUGAGCUGGAGCAGAGAAAUAAAGACAUCAACGAAAGGGAUCAACUUCUUCGAGAAGAGCAACCAAGACCGAGAAGAUCCAUUAGAAUUUCGCAACCACAACUUCCCCCCUUACACCACCUCUUAAAUCUCGGGACGAGAUUUCUUGUAGUGGAGGAGAAUUGUGACGCCCGGAUAAUUAGGCUACAGUAAUCACACGUUAAUGAUGCCACGUCACCAUGGUUACUAUUGUUAAUCUCGCGUUAGUUCAGAACCGAUCCAAAUUCAAAUUUGAAACAAAGGCAAAACAUCAAAAGUUUUCAAACGUUAACACUAAAAUGUUCAAAAUGCGACAAAUAAAUCCGAAGUCAUAAUGGUGGAGGAACCACAUUUUUGUAGAAGGAUUAAAUGCACUAAAAUGGUUCGAACAGUAGCAAAAACAACUAUUUAAACGCCUUUGGUAUUUUAUAAAAUACUAAACUAUUUUAUAUCGGGCCAUACCUUUUUACAGUAGUGGAUUGUUCUCAAACGUUAUUUUAGGGGUUGUAGUCAUAUUUUACUAAACUAAAAUUAAUAUGUAACUAAAAUAAAACAGAAAAGAAAAAUAACGAAAAGUAAAACUAAAAGAAAAGACCAAACCCUCCCCCGGGGCCAACCGGCCCAGCUGGCCACUGGGCUAGCCAGGCCGGCCCACCUACUGGCCUACUUAGGCCACGCUGCUCCCAGCCAAACCCUAACCAACCACCCGCACCCCACUCGCUCUCUCCCCCUCCCCCCCGAUCCAGUUCUGGAUCGGGAUCGGGCCGACGACCGCGCCCCGACGCCGGCUUCCCACCCCGUCACCGCACUCCAACCACCCCUGGCGCCGCCACCCGCCGGCGGCGAACCCCUCUCCUUCGCCGCACGCCACCGGUCGAGGCCACCUCGCCGCCGCCCGUUGUCAGGACCCCGACUCAAUGCCACAUCAAUCUAGCAUGUAACACCUCAUAUCACUUUGCGGCCUCACGCACGGUGUUCCCACGGGUGUCGCCUUACCUUUGCCCGGGACCGUUUGCGUCUUUUGGCACACGUAUAUGAUAGUGUCGCUAGCAUCCAUAUGAUAAGGAGCCCGAGCUGACAUGGCUAGUCGUAAACCCAAAGUGGCCCAAACUUACAGGGACAGGCAUCCAUGACCCAACAUCGAACGUGUCGGUCAUCAGCGAGUGAAUCCAGGCUGUAGCACUGGGCUAGCAGGACUCCGGUGAACCGGGCUGUAGCGGGCUAACAGGACCCCGGUAUCCAUCGCGUGACAUUUCCCCGAAGGGACAGACACAGGAACGAAGAAGGACACAUGCCGGCCAGCCUAAGUGUUCCGGAGCAGUAGCAAGCUACCAUGGCUCAGUGGAAACACUAGGAGACAUUUCCCGGUAAGAGAGGCUACUAAGGAUAAACAACUAGGUAGUCAGAUCCCACACAUACCGAGCAUUUCAAUAGCAUACACACAAUAUGCUCGAUAUGUGCAAUACAACAUGGCAUCACAAGAUGACUCUACGACUCAAGUAUUUAUUCAAUAGGCUCCGAGGAGCGAGAUAUUACAAACAGGGGUCUCACGACCCAACAUUCAGAGCAUACAAGUCAAAACACAAGCGGAAGCUAUCAUGUCUGAGUACAGACAUCUAGAAAUGAAAAAGGCUGAGAGGCCUGACUAUCUACUAGAUCCUGCCGAGGGCUCAAGAUCGUAGCUGAGGUAACAAGCUAAACGUCGAAGUCCAUGCGAAACUACUAGUGAGACCGAAGUCUCUCUGCAAAAACAUAAAAUAGGCAAACGUGAGUACAAAUGUACCCAGCAAGACUUACAUCAGAACUAUCUACAUAUGCAUCAUUAUCAACAAAGGGAUGGUGGGGUUUAACUGCAGCAAGCCAGCUUUGACUCGGUGGCUAUCCUGAACUACGACUGCAAUGUAACUCUUUUGAGGUGGCGCACACGAGUCCACAUAUUCACCAUAUCAAUACACCACUAUGGAUCCGCUCCCGUCUCCCUACGAGAACGCCAUCCAUAGCACUCACGCUUAUCUUGCGCAUUUUAAAGUAUCCACUUUCACUUGUCUAUGAACUGAUAUAAGCAACCCAGAAGUCCUUUACCGCGGACACGGCUAUUCGAAUAGAUGAUAUUAACCCUGCAGGGGUGUACUUCUUCAUACAUGUUUCCACCACUUAGCGUCUGCACACGACAUGUGCUCGGCAGACUUCAAGCGAAAGCCGACGUGGGUGUAGACCACGACCUACCUAAACACCUAAGUCUCUAGUCCAGGUUUAUCGCCUAUUCGGGUUCCAUCCAUGAGGAGAUCCGGCCGGAGUUUCGCUCACAGCCCCAAACGAUGUGAACAGGGUUCCGUGACACCAAACGGGUGCCCGGUAUACCCGGCCACGUGCCUACCGCAUCACAGCCCACCCCUACGGUCAGCGCUGUCCACGGCCUCCAGCAUACUACAAACACCAGAAACUACUUGCAACUCCUGGACAGAGGACAAGGGUGAAUAAGAAGUCGAGCGGGGUCAUAUUUCAGGGCCCAAUGUAUGGUAGUAGCUGAAUCAUGGAUCACAAACACAGAACUCAGUUCCUGAGGACGGCUACAAUGAGACAACCCACCAUGUACUCCUACAUGGCCUCUCACCGCUACCUUUACCAAAUCGUGUUCACACACUUAGCUCACACACAGUAGGACAUGUUCACACACCUCUGAUUCAUCCCCGAUGAAUCAGACCUGACUCGACUCUAAGCAAUAGCAGGCAUGACAAACAAGCAUGAAUGAGUAGGCACAACAGGGCUCAAACAACUCCUACUCAUGCUAGUGGGUUUCAUCUAUUUACUGUGGCAAUGACAGGUCAUGCAGAGGAUAAAGGGGUUCAACUACCGCAGCAUGUAACAGAUGAUUCGGUGUUGUCCUAAUGCAGUAAAAAGAGAGCAGGAGCGAGAGAGUGGGAUUUUAUCGGAAUGAACAAGGGGGUUUUGCUUGCCUGGCACUUCUGAAGAUAACAUUGAGUCUUCGUCAGUGUCAACGAUCGCAUCAUCGGUGUCACGUCUAUCGAGAGGGGACAAUUACCGGCAAAUACAGAAAAGACACGAUCAAUGCAAUGCACAAUAUGAUGCAUGCUAUGACAUGGCAAUAUGAAUGUGUUUUGGGCUAAUGCACCUAAAACCAGAUUAAAUGAAGUUGGUUUGAAUCCAAAAUUCAAAUUCAAACUCCAUAUGGGGUUAUUUAAAUGUCAUUCACUUCAUUUGUCCUAAACAGUAGUGAUAAGUUGUUCUAACAUGCAUGAAAAUGGUACAGAUGGAUUCCUUGAAUUUUUCUGAUAAUUUUUCAUAUAUAAUUUAUUUAAUUUGGAGUUACGGUUAAUUUUCUAUGAUUUUUAGAAGUUUUAGGCAUUUUCUGGAAUUUCCUGAAUAUUUAGAAUUAAAAUAAUUCCAGAAAAUGAAUUAUGGCGUCAGCAUGACCUCAUGCUGACCUCAGCAGGUCAACGGGCGGUCCAGGUCAAACCUGACGUGUGGGGUCCACACGUCAGUGACACAGGGGCUAAUCCCGCGUUGACCCGGGCUUUGACCCACUACGGGGCCCACUGUCAGUGGCUGUGGGGGGGUGUUUAGAGCGUCAUUAGUGCUAAUUAGGCGUGCCACGUCGGCAGUCGCCGGAGUGUCGCCGGCGACGACCACGGCCGACAGCGGAGGUGCGCCGUGCGCUCGCUACGGAGCACCAUUUGACGUGCGGUUUGCUCCUACGGGUUCCUGGGAGGAAGGCGCAUCUAAAGAGGUAAGUGACAGCAGCUGGGGUGGCCGGAGCUGCCGGCGGCGAGCUCCUUUGCGGCUGCCGGAGUUCGGGCAAUCUCGGGGUCGGGGUUAGGAAGCACGGCAGGAGGAGCUGGGGCGUGCUACGGACUCCUGAGAUCACGAUGAGCACGUCAGUGGGCUCGGAUACGAGCUGGGGUGGAAGAAUGGACUGACUCAGAUCAGAAUGUCAUAAGGUAUAAGGAGUAAAAAAAGAGCCUUACGUUCCAACCCACAAACAAUUCCCCUACAUAUAACUAAAGAAUUUCUAGACUCAACAUCGACCAGUUUGGCUUGGAGAACCUACAGGCAGUCCGGCUCUGAUGCCAACGCUGUCAGGACCCCGACUCGAUGUCACAUCGAUCUAGCUGGUAACACCUCAUAUCACUUUGCGGCCUCACGCACGGUAUCCCCACGGGUGUCGUCUUACCUUUUCCCGGGACCGUUUGCGCCUUUUGGCUCACGUAUAUGAUAGUGUCGCUAGCAUCCAUAUGAUAAAGAGCCCGGGCUGACAUGACUAGUCGUAAACCCAAAGUGGCACAGACUUACAGGGACAGGCAUCCAUGACCCAGCUUCGAACGUGUCGGUCAUCAGCAAGUGGGUACGGGCUGUAGCACUGGGCUAGCAGGACUCCGGUAAACCGGGCUGUAGCGGGCUAACAGGACUCCGGUACUCAAAGCGUGACGUUUCCCAGAAGGGACAGACACAGGAACGAAGAAGGACACAUGCCGGCCAGCCUAAGUGUUCCAGAGCAGUAGCAAGCUACCAUGGCUCAGCGGUAACACUAGGAGACAUUUCCCGGUAAGAGAGGCUACUAAAGAUAAACAACUAGAUAGUCAGAUCCCACACAUACCAAGCAUUUCAAUCAUACACACAAUAUGCUCGAUAUGUGCAAAUACAACGAAGCAUCACAACAUGACUCUACGACACAAGUACUUUAUUCAUUAGGCUCCGAGGAGCGAGAUAUUACAAACAUGGGUCUCAUGACCCAACACUCAGAGCAUACAAGUCAAAGCACAAGCGGAAGCUAUCAUGUCUGAGUACAGACGUCUAUAAAUGUAAAAGGCUGAAAAGCCUGACUAUCUAUCAGAUCCUGCCGAGGGCACAAGAUCGUAGCUGAGGUAUCAAGCUAAACGUCGAAGUCCAAGCGGAACUACUAGUGAGACUGAAGUCUCUCUGCAAAACAUAAAAUAGGCAAACGUGAGUACAAAUGUACCCAGCAAGACUUACAUCAGAUCUAUCUACACAUGCAUCAUUAUCAACAAAGGGGAUGGUGGAGUUUGACUGCAGCAAGCCAGCUUUGACUCGGUGGCUAUCCUGAACUACGACUGCAAGUAACUCUUUUGAGGUGGCGCACACGAGUCCACAUAUUCACCAUAUCAAUACACCACUAUGGAUCCGCUCCCGUCUCCCUACGAGAACGCCAUCCAUAGCACUCACGCUUAUCUUGCGCAUUUUAAAGUAUCCACUUUCACUUGUCUAUGAACUGAUAUAAGCAACCCAGAAGUCCUUUACCACGGACACGGCUAUUCGAAUAGAUGAUGUUAACCCUGCAGGGGUGUACUUCUUCAUACAUGUUUCCACCACUUAGCGUCUGCACACGACAUGUGCUCGGCAGACUUCAAGCGAAAGCCGACGUGGGUGUAGACCACGACCUACCUAAACACUCAAGUCUCUAGUCCAGGUUUAUCGCCUAUUCGGGUUCCAUCCAUGAGGAGAUCCGGCCGGAGUUUCGCUCACAGCCCCAAACGAUGUGAACAGGGUUCCGUGACACCAAACAGGCGCCCGGUUUACCCGGCCACGUGCCUACCGCAUCACAGCCCACCCCUACGGUCAGCGCUGUCCACGGCCUCCAGCAUACUACAAACACCAGAAACUACUUGCAACUCCUGGACAGAGGACAAGGGUGAAUAAGAAGUCGAGCGGGGUCAUAUUUCAGGGCCCAAUGUAUGGUAGUAUCUGAAUCAUGGAUCACAAACACAGAACUCAGUUCCUGAGGACGGCUGCAAUGAGACAACCCACCAUGUACUCCUACAUGGCCUCUCACCGCUACCUUUACCAAAUCGUGUUCACACACUUAGCUCACACACAGUAGGACAUGUUCACACACCUCUGAUUCAUCCCCGAUGAAUCAGACCUGACUCAACUCUAAGCAGUAGCAAGCAUGACAAACAAGCAUGAAUGAGUAGGCACAUCAGGGCUCAAACAACUCCUACUCAUGCUAGUGGGUUUCAUCUAUUUACUGUGGCAAUGACAGGUCAUGCAGAGGAUAAAGGGGUUCAGCUACCGCAGCAAGUAACAGAUGAAUCGGUGUUGUCCUAAUGCAGUAAAAGAGAGCAGGAGCGAGAGAGUAGGUUUGUAUCGGAAUGAACAAGGGGAUUUUGCUUGCCUGGCACUUCUGAAGAUAACAUUGAGUCUUCAUCAGUGUCAACGAUCACAUCAUCGGUAUCACGUCUAUCGAGAGGGGACAAAUACCGGCAACACAGAAGGGAACACAAUCAAUGCAAUGCACAAUAUGAUGCAUGAUCAUGACAUGGCAAAUGAAUGUGUUUUGGGCUAAUGCAACUAGCAACAGAUUAAAUGAAGUUGGUUUGAAUACAAGAUUCAAAUUCAAACUCCAUAUGUGAUUAUUCAAAUGCCAUUUAAUUGAUUUGUGCUAAACAGCAGCUAUAAGUUGUUCUAACAUGCAUGAAAAUGGUACAGAUGGAUUCCUUGAAUUUUUCUGAUAAUUUUUCAUAUAUAAUUUAUUUAAUUUGGAGCUACGGUUGAAUUUCUAUGAAUUUAAGAAGUUUUAGGCAUUUUCUGAAAUUUCCUGAAUUAAAAAAAAAUCCAGAAAAUACUUAUUGCGUCAGCCCCACGUCACAGUGACGUCAGCAGGGUCAACUGGGCGCCCCAGGUCAAAUCUGACGUGUGGGGGCCACACGUCAGUGACACAGGAGCUAAUCCCGGUCAAACCCAGCGCUGACUGGGGUUUGACCAGGGGUGGGGCCCGCUGUCAGUGGCCUAGGGGUUGAUUAGUGUGGGGGGGUUAGCCGCUAAUGAUGCCCACGUCAUCAUCACCGGACUUACGCCGCCGGCGACCAAAAUGGCGGCGGCAACGCGCCGGACUUGCGCUAAAGGCGACGGAGGCGGCGGCUGGGGGCACCGGGGCGUAGCCCGGGCUCUCCCACAUCUGAUGGGGUAGGUGGGAGGCUGCGGGAACGCCGGGGCUCGUCGGAACGGAGCUCGCGGCGGCGCCGGAGUUCGGGUGGUAACGGGCGCGAGGCCCUGGUGGGGUUUUGGGCAAGCUGAGCUGCGCAUGGGCUUCCUGUGAGCCCCACGAGCUCAAAGCCGUGCUCGGACGCGACCGAAACAGGCCAUGGCCGCGACGGCAGCAUGGCCGGCGGCAGCGAGCUCCGGUCGUCGGCAAAGUGGCAGCUGCGGUGUGCAAACGAGAGAACGGAGAGGGGGAAACAGCACAGGAGCUCACAGCGGGUGCAGUGGUGGCCUCGGCGAGCUCGGGGAGGCACCGGAGCCGACGAAUUUGACGAAGAUGGCCGGCGGGUCCGAGGUAGAAGAAGACGUCGAUGGCGGCGAUGCGGCACCUCCGGGGCCUCGUGGCUCGUUGAGGAGUAGAGGGAGGACCCGCGGAGCUUCCUGGGGCGUCGGUGAGGCUAGGGGUGGCCGGUGGCCAUGGGUACGGCGACGAUGGCGGCGAGCUCCGCUCGGUGGUGUGCGCGAGAGGGAAACAGAGGAGGGAAUGGGGUCCAGGGGGAGAGAGGGGAGGUGCAGGGGGCGAGGGCGUCUCCGUGGCGUCGCGAGGGAGUCGGGGAGGCUGCCACGGCGAAGCAGGAGGUGGCCGGCGCUCUUCGGGCGCGCACCACGCCUCGCCUCUGCCUACUGCCAGAGGAAGAAGAGGACAAGGGGGGGAAGGAGGUGGGCUGGGCCGCGCUGGGCCGGUCCUGUUGGGCUGCACGGGUAAGUGGCCAGGUAAAACUCUCUCCCUCUCUCUUUUCUUCUAAUUUUGUUUUCUAUUUUGCAGGUUUGUUUUGAAUUUGGUUUUGAAACCAAUUCAAUUUAUUUUGCUUCUGACAAUAUUUUUAGGAGCUAAAAGAAUUAAAACAAUGCUCCACAAAAAUAUUUCAAAAUUAUUGGACCUAUAUUUAUUUAACAGUAGAUAUAAGUCCAAUUCAAAUAGUUAUUGAUUUAAUUCAAAUACCCAAAAUAAAUGUUUCUGAGAUACCGAAAAUAUUGGUUUGGAUUUUACCUCUUGCCAAUAUUUCCAGAGGAUAACAAGAACAUUUUCUUGGACUUAUUUGAGGCAAUUUUUAUCUUGAUCAUUUCAUUUUUUUAAAGGAUUCCGAGGCUUUGAAAAUUCCUCAAUUCAAAUUUCAUUUGAAUUUAAACAUGAUGCUCACAUGAGGUCUAGCCUAGUGCAUUGCCAGAAGCUAGGGAUGUGACAACUCACCCCCACUAAACAAGAAUCUCGUCUCGAGAUUCAAGCGUAGGGUAAGAUGAAGGGGAAACGCAAACUAGUAUAAUCUUCACGAUCGAGGUUGCACUUCAAAUGAACGUUGAUUUGAACACCAUCAUUGUCUUGAAGUCUUGCUCUGAGAAAUCCUGCCAACAUGACCUGGAGAGAAGGAGACUCUAGAAGGGUCGAUCUCCUCGAAGAUCGAACAACUCACGGAAUGAGACAUAGGACCAUCUCUCGGGUUGAGACACGAGAUACACAUCAAGAGGGGUGAAAAGAAACGGAUGACGAAGGUUCACUAGGUAGACAACAAUUCCACACUUAAGAAGGUGGUAAAAUAUUGUCCACGUAGCGAGGAGUUGAGUUUCCAUAAUACCAUAACGAUGCACCUUAGGGAAGGUGACUCAUAGAAAUAUCCCCUUAAGUGGCAAAAAUAAUUACCUUUGAUUCAGAGAUCAUUGAGACUCUUUAAACCAACCUAAGGCAAUUCUCGACCGAUCGUUUGGAGGGGGGGUCGGUAGAAUGGCAUACUCGGACUUGGAUGAUGUGGAUUACCUUGUUGAAGACAACGUAAUGGAUGAAUUUGCUUAUCACCGGAAAUGGAAGAGACCCAUGGUAGAAUGGCACAUUGGCGGUGCAAGCUAGGAACAAAAUGCAAAUGCUGGGAAUGAUUCUGGUAACUGGGGAAGAACCCAACAACAGAGAGUGAAUUCACUGUUUGAAAAGGUCAUAGCAUUGCCGAGGAAACUGAGAGCAAACCCAGCUAGUGCCGAGGAUAACACGUAGCGCUUGUGCGUGCUCUCAAGAACUUGAGCAUUUCCACAAUCAUCAAGAUUCUACCAAUAUCCGUGUCAAGGUUCCUGGCAACACAACUUGCUACCAUGAUGAAUGAUGCAGAUGCAAAGGAAGAUAACACCUUCUCAGAUUUCACCUUAGCGAGGCCAAGCAAAUAAAAUCUGGAUGAUCGACCGAGAGACAUUUAGCACUCCGCUUCUAAUGUUCUCCUUGAUGUGCUAGUAUAACCCAUUCAUAGAUAUGGUUUGAUAUCUAAAACAUCAAGUAAAAGGUCGGACUUCGGGAACACAAAAAUCCAUAGGGGCAACUAGGGAGUAAAUCCUACGAAAUCCUUAGGGGAGGUGGCCAACUUCUUCAAUCAAGAUACUACAAUAAUAGGUCUUCCGGUUGGGUGUGUUGGCCACGACAUCCACUUUACCGGUUUCCAAGGGAUCGAUAUUAUAGUUCUUGGAAAAUGUUCCAAACCAUCAUAUCUGCCUGAGAUUCAGAUCUGGUUGGUGUCAGGAUAUUCCAGACUCAUCGAGUCUAGGAAGGAAAACGAAAGUUUGCAACACAAAUCGACAAGAUGACGUUGCGAGAUUCUCGGGAAAUGAACUACGAUAGUAAGCUCCAAAACAUGAGCUGGUUCUGCUACAAACAUGUGAACACGUUGUCCCAGACAAGCAUGACCAUGUGGUAGUCUUAUAAUAAAACACUACCGAGUUCAGGUGGGGAACCAUCAACGAGGAUAUCAAGAUCCUUGCAUAAGGUAUACUCUUAAGAAGGAACUUCUUCUCCUUGAACAAAUCAAUCAGUGGCUUGGUGUGCUAGGGAUACAUAUAGAUUGAAGGUUGCAAGUCUUCAAACCACAGAAUUCUUCGCACAUGUGCAUGACUGACUUGCGAUGAUUCCAGAGGAAGCAACAUUGACUUUCUCGAGUUCACGGCGGCACCCUGCAUCAAAUGCACACGAACUAGAGGAAGUCACUUCUUACAUCCGAACAUAUGCUUCAUGAGCUAGCAUGAACAAAUGCUUUCAAAAGUUUCUAACACUAGCUUAAUGUUCAGCAAAAUUAUGGAGAAGACAAGGAUGUUGUCAAUGGGCACAACAACAAUUCAUCUGGGUUUCCUUUUAAAAGGAAUUCCAUAGUUAAGUGAACAAGUGAUAGCAUUGGUCAGACCCAAAAGAUAUAAUGGUGUAUGCUCGAGGGAUCAACCACGAGUAAGANNNNNNNNNNNNNNNNNNNNNNNNNNNNNNNNNNNNNNNNNNNNNNNNNNNNNNNNNNNNNNNNNNNNNNNNNNNNNNNNNNNNNNNNNNNNNNNNNNNNNNNNNNNNNNNNNNNNNNNNNNNNNNNNNNNNNNNNNNNNNNNNNNNNNNNNNNNNNNNNNNNNNNNNNNNNNNNNNNNNNNNNNNNNNNNNNNNNNNNNNNNNNNNNNNNNNNNNNNNNNNNNNNNNNNNNNNNNNNNNNNNNNNNNNNNNNNNNNNNNNNNNNNNNNNNNNNNNNNNNNNNNNNNNNNNNNNNNNNNNNNNNNNNNNNNNNNNNNNNNNNNNNNNNNNNNNNNNNNNNNNNNNNNNNNNNNNNNNNNNNNNNNNNNNNNNNNNNNNNNNNNNNNNNNNNNNNNNNNNNNNNNNNNNNNNNNNNNNNNNNNNNNNNNNNNNNNNNNNNNNNNNNNNNNNNNNNNNNNNNNNNNNGUUCCAUCCCACAAUCAAUUCCCUUAUAUAACUAAAGAAUUUCUAGACUCAACUUCGACCAGCUUGGCUUGGUAAUCCUACAGGCAGUCAAGCUCUGAUACCAACGCUGUCAGGACCCCGACUCAAUGCCACAUCAAUCUAGCAUGUAACACCUCAUAUCACUUUGCGGCCUCACGCACGGUGUUCCCACGGGUGUCGCCUUACCUUUGCCCGGGACCGUUUGCGUCUUUUGGCACACGUAUAUGAUAGUGUCGCUAGCAUCCAUAUGAUAAGGAGCCCGGGCUGACAUGGCUAGUCGUAAACCCAAAGUGGCCCAAACUUACAGGGACAGGCAUCCAUGACCCAACAUCGAACGUGUCGGUCAUCAGCGAGUGAAUCCAGGCUGUAGCACUGGGCUAGCAGGACUCCGGUGAACCGGGCUGUAGCGGGCUAACAGGACUCCGGUAUCCAUCGCGUGACAUUUCCCCGAAGGGACAGACACAGGAACGAAGAAGGACACAUGCCGGCCAGCCUAAGUGUUCCGGAGCAGUAGCAAGCUACCAUGGCUCAGUGGAAACACUAGGAGACAUUUCCCGGUAAGAGAGGCUACUAAGGAUAAACAACUAGGUAGUCAGAUCCCACACAUACCAAGCAUUUCAAUAGCAUACACACAAUAUGCUCGAUAUGUGCAAUACAACAUGGCAUCACAAGAUGACUCUACGACUCAAGUAUUUAUUCAAUAGGCUCCGAGGAGCGAGAUAUUACAAACAGGGGUCUCACGACCCAACAUUCAGAGCAUACAAGUCAAAACACAAGCGGAAGCUAUCAUGUCUGAGUACAGACAUCUAGAAAUGAAAAAGGCUGAGAGGCCUGACUAUCUACCAGAUCCUGCCGAGGGCUCAAGAUCGUAGCUGAGGUAACAAGCUAAACGUCGAAGUCCAUGCGAAACUACUAGUGAGACCGAAGUCUCUCUGCAAAAACAUAAAAUAGGCAAACGUGAGUACAAAUGUACCCAGCAAGACUUACAUCAGAACUAUCUACAUAUGCAUCAUUAUCAACAAAGGGAUGGUGGGGUUUAACUGCAGCAAGCCAGCUUUGACUCGGUGGCUAUCCUGAACUACGACUGCAAUGUAACUCUUUUGAGGUGGCGCACACAAGUCCACAUAUUCACCAUAUCAAUACACCACUAUGGAUCCGCUCCCGUCUCCCUACGAGAACGCCAUCCAUAGCACUCACGCUUAUCUUGCGCAUUUUAAAGUAUCCACUUUCACUUGUCUAUGAACUGAUAUAAGCAACCCAGAAGUCCUUUACCGCGGACACGGCUAUUCGAAUAGAUGAUGUUAACCCUGCAGGGGUGUACUUCUUCAUACAUGUUUCCACCACUUAGCGUCUGCACACGACAUGUGCUCAGCAGACUUCAAGCAAAAGCCGACGUGGGUGUAGACCACGACCUACCUAAACACUCAAGUCUCUAGUCCAGGUUUAUCGCCUAUUCGGGUUCCAUCCAUGAGGAGAUCCGGCCGGAGUUUCGCUCACAGCCCCAAACGAUGUGAACAGGGUUCCGUGACACCAAACAGGCGCCCGGUUUACCCGGCCACGUGCCUACCGCAUCACAGCCCACCCCUACGGUCAGCGCUGUCCACGGCCUCCAGCAUACUACAAACACCAGAAACUACUUGCAACUCCUGGACAGAGGACAAGGGUGAAUAAGAAGUCGAGCGGGGUCAUAUUUCAGGGCCCAAUGUAUGGUAGUAACUGAAUCAUGGAUCACAAACACAGAACUCAGUUCCUGAGGACGGCUGCAAUGAGACAACCCACCAUGUACUCCUACAUGGCCUCUCACCGCUACCUUUACCAAAUCGUGUUCACACACUUAGCUCACACACAGUAGGACAUGUUCACACACCUCUGAUUCAUCCCCGAUGAAUCAGACCUGACUCAACUCUAAGCAGUAGCAGGCAUGACAAACAAGCAUGAAUGAGUAGGCACAUCAGGGCUCAAACAACUCCUACUCAUGCUAGUGGGUUUCAUCUAUUUACUGUGGCAAUGACAGGUCAUGCAGAGGAUAAAGGGGUUCAGCUACCGCAGCAAGUAACAGAUGAAUCGGUGUUGUCCUAAUGCAGUAAAAGAGAGCAGGAGCGAGAGAGUAGGUUUGUAUCGGAAUGAACAAGGGGAUUUUGCUUGCCUGGCACUUCUGAAGAUAACAUUGAGUCUUCAUCAGUGUCAACGAUCACAUCAUCGGUAUCACGUCUAUCGAGAGGGGACAAAUACCGGCAACACAGAAGGGAACAGAAUCAAUGUAAUGCACAAUAUGAUGCAUGAUCAUGACAUGACAAAUGAAUGUGUUUUGGGCUAAUGCAACUAGCAACAGAUUAAAUGAAGUUGGUUUGAAUACAAGAUUCAAAUUCAAACUCCAUAUGUGAUUAUUCAAAUGCCAUUUAAUUGAUUUGUGCUAAACAGCAGCUAUAAGUUGUUCUAACAUGCAUGAAAAUGGUACAGAUGGAUUCCUUGAAUUUUUCUGAUAAUUUUUCAUAUAUAAUUUAUUUAAUUUGGAGCUACGGUUGAAUUUCUAUGAAUUUUAGAAGUUUUAGGCAUUUUCUGAAAUUUCCUGAAUUAUAAAAAAAUCCAGAAAAUACUUAUUGCGUCAGCCCCACGUCACAGUGACGUCAGCAGGGUCAACUGGGCGCCCCAGGUCAAAUCUGACGUGUGGGGGCCACACGUCAGUGACACAGGAGCUAAUCCCGGUCAAACCCAGCGCUGACUGGGGUUUGACCAGGGGUGGGGCCCGCUGUCAGUGGCCUAGGGGGUUGAUUAGUGUGGGGGGGUUAGCCGCUAAUGAUGCCCACGUCAUCAUCGCCGGACUUACGCCGCCGGCGACCAAAAUGGCGGCGGCAACGCGCCGGACUUGCACUAAAGGCGACGGAGGCGGCGGCUGGGGGCACCGGGGCGUAGCCCGGGCUCUCCCGCAUCUGAUGGGGUAGGUGGGAGGCUGCGGGAACGCCGGGGCUCGUCGGAACGGAGCUCGCGGCGGCGCCGGAGUUCGGGUGGUAACGGGCGCGAGGCCCUGGUGGGGUUUUGGGCAAGCUGAGCUGCGCAUGGGCUUCCUGUGAGCCCCACGAGCUCAAAGCCGUGCUCGGACGCGACCGAAACAGGCCAUGGCCGCGACGGCAGCAUGGCCGGCGGCAGCGAGCUCCGGUCGUCGGCAAAGUGGCAGCUGCGGUGUGCAAACGAGAGAACGGAGAGGGGGAAACAGCACAGGAGCUCACAGCGGGUGCAGUGAUGGCCUCGGCGAGCUCGGGGAGGCACCGGAGCCGACGAAUUUGACGAAGAUGGCCGGCGGGUCCGAGGUAGAAGACGACGUCGAUGGCGGCGAUGCGGCACGUCCGGGGCCUCGUGGCUCGUUGAGGAGGUAGAGGGAGGACCCGCGGAGCUUCCUGGGGCGUCGGUGAGGCUAGGGGUGGCCGGUGGCCAUGGGUACGGCGACGAUGGCGGCGAGCUCCGCUCGGUGGUGUGCGCGAGAGGGAAACAGAGGAGGGAAUGGGGUCCAGGGGGAGAGAGGGGAGGUGCAGGGGGCGAGGGCGUCUCCGUGGCGUCACGAGGGAGUCGGGGAGGCUGCCACGGCGAAGCAGGAGGUGGCCGGCGCUCUUCGGGCGCGCGCCACGCCUCGCCUCUGCCUACUGGCAGAGGAAGAAGAGGACAAGGGGGGGAAGGAGGUGGGAUGGGCCGCGCUGGGCCGGUCCUGUUGGGCUGCACGGGUAAGUGGCCAGGUAAAACUCUCUCCCUCUCUCUUUUUUUUUAAUUCUGUUUUCUAUUUUGCAGGUUUGUUUUGAAUUUGGUUUUGAAACCAAUUCAAUUUAUUUUGCUUCUGACAAUAUUUUUAGGAGCUAAAAGAAUUAAAACAAUGCUCCACAAAAAUAUUUCAGAAUUAUUGGACCUAUAUUUAUUUAACAGUAGAUAUAAGUCCAAUUCAAAUAGUUAUUGAUUUAAUUCAAAUACCCAAAAUAAAUGUUUCUGAGAUACCAAAAAUAUUGGUUUGGAUUUUACCUCUUGCCAAUAUUUCCAGAGGAUAACAAGAACAUUUUCUUGGACUUAUUUGAGGCAAUUUUUAUCUUGAUCAUUUCAUUUUUUUAAAGGAUUCUGAGGCUUUGAAAAUUCCUCAAUUCAAAUUUCAUUUGAAUUUAAACAUGAUGCUCACAUGAGGUCUAGCCUAGUGCAUUGCCAGAAGCUAGGGAUGUGACAACUCACCCCCACUAAACAAGAAUCUCGUCUCGAGAUUCAAGCGUAGGGUAAGAUGAAGGGGAAACGCAAACUAGUAUAAUCUUCACGAUCGAGGUUGCACUUCAAAUGAACGUUGAUUUGAACACCAUCAUUGUCUUGAAGUCUUGCUCUGAGAAAUCCUGCCAACAUGACCUGGAGAGAAGGAGACUCUAGAAGGGUCGAUCUCCUCGAAGAUCGAACAACUCACGGAAUGAGACAUAGGACCAUCUCUCGGGAUGAGACACGAGAUACACAUCAAGAGGGGUGAAAAGAAACGGAUGACGAAGGUUCACUAGGUAGACAACAAUUCCACACUUAAGAAGGUGGUAAAAUAUUGUCCACGUAGCGAGGAGUUGAGUUUCCAUAAUACCAUAACGAUGCACCUUAGGGAAGGUGACUCAUAGAAAUAUCCCCUUAAGUGGCAAAAAGAAUUACCUUUGAUUCAGAGAUCAUUGAGACUCUUUAAACCAACCUAAGGCAAUUCUCGACCGAUCGUUUGGAGGGGGGGUCGGUAGAAUGGCAUACUCGGACUUGGAUGAUGUGGAUUACCUUGUUGAAGACAACGUAAUGGAUGAAUUUGCUUAUCACCGGAAAUGGAAGAGACCCAUGGUAGAAUGGCACAUUGGCGGUGCAAGCUAGGAACAAAAUGCAAAUGCUGGGAAUGAUUCUGGUAACUGGGGAAGAACCCAACAACAGAGAGUGAAUUCACUGUUUGAAAAGGUCAUAGCAUUGCCGAGGAAACUGAGAGCAAACCCAGCUAGUGCCGAGGAUAACACGUAGCGCUUGUGCGUGCUCUCAAGAACUUGAGCAUUUCCACAAUCAUCAAGAUUCUACCAAUAUCCGUGUCAAGGUUCCUGGCAACACAACUUGCUACCAUGAUGAAUGAUGCAGAUGCAAAGGAAGAUAACACCUUCUCAGAUUUCACCUUAGCGAGGCCAAGCAAAUAAAAUCUGGAUGAUCGACCGAGAGACAUUUAGCACUCCGCUUCUAAUGUUCUCCUUGAUGUGCUAGUAUAACCCAUUCAUAGAUAUGGUUUGAUAUCUAAAACAUCAAGUAAAAGGUCGGACUUCGGGAACACAAAAAUCCAUAGGGGCAACUAGGGAGUAAAUCCUACGAAAUCCUUAGGGGAGGUGGCCAACUUCUUCAAUCAAGAUACUACAAUAAUAGGUCUUCCGGUUGGGUGUGUUGUUCACGACAUCCACUUUACCGGUUUCCAAGGGAUCGAUAUUAUAGUUCUUGGAAAAUGUUCCAAACCAUCAUAUCUGCCUGAGAUUCAGAUCUGGUUGGUGUCAGGAUAUUCCAGACUCAUCGAGUCUAGGAAGGAAAACGAAAGUUUGCAACACAAAUCGACAAGAUGACGUUGCGAGAUUCUCGGGAAAUGAACUACGAUAGUAAGCUCCAAAACAUGAGCUGGUUCUGCUACAAACAUGUGAACACGUUGUCCCAGACAAGCAUGACCAUGUGGUAGUCUUAUAAUAAAACACUACCGAGUUCAGGUGGGGAACCAUCAACGAGGAUAUCAAGAUCCUUGCAUAAGGUAUACUCUUAAGAAGGAACUUCUUCUCCUUGAACAAAUCAAUCAGUGGCUUGGUGUGCUAGGGAUACAUAUAGAUUGAAGGUUGCAAGUCUUCAAACCACAGAAUUCUUCGCACAUGUGCAUGACUGACUUGCGAUGAUUCCAGAGGAAGCAACAUUGACUUUCUCGAGUUCACGGCGGCACCCUGCAUCAAAUGCACACGAACUAGAGGAAGUCACUUCUUACAUCCGAACAUAUGCUUCAUGAGCUAGCAUGAACAAAUGCUUUCAAAAGUUUCUAACACUAGCUUAAUGUUCAGCAAAAUUAUGGAGAAGACAAGGAUGUUGUCAAUGGGCACAACAACAAUUCAUCUGGGUUUCCUUUUAAAAGGAAUUCCAUAGUUAAGUGAACAAGUGAUAGCAUUGGUCAGACCCAAAAGAUAUAAUGGUGUAUGCUCGAGGGAUCAACCACGAGUAAGACAACAUUACGAAUAUCGUUGGUUCUGGUCUGAUUGGAUGAUAGCCCAUACUCAAUCAAAGGUUUGGGUAAGAUAAUAGAUCCAACAAUUGUUCACAAGGACCAAUUGAUGAAGAUAUCAUCUUUCUUCAACACACACACACACACAAAAAGAUAUCCCUUAACAUGAACUAAGUCGGACAAGCUUUUAUCUUCCAACUCUCCAAGUUGUUGUUUAGCUUAUCCAACUAGCUCAGGGUAUCCAACACGGAUUCUUGGAGAAGGGGUGGUUUACAGGAAUAAACCAACUUGAUCACGAACUCAACAUAGCGGUCAGGUGACAACCUGGUAAUACUUCUGAGAAGAUAUUCAGAAAAUCACGAACCACCGGUAUGUUACUAAGCUCGAGAACAAUCUUGCUUUUCAGGGCAAGACGAUAUGAUCAAUAGAGCAAGGAUUUGAAAUAAUCCUAACUCAUCGAUCGAGGAGUGAACCAGGAGAAUGGACUAGGUAGCACAAUCAAUCUUAGAAUGAUGAUUCAAUAACCAACACACUAAGAAUGAAAUUAUUGUCCUUUAACUACCCAACAACGAGGUUGCUAGGCGUAUUGAUUUCACACAUCACAAUUCAUUUGUCGGUAUUCCGGUUGCAUCAACACGAAGACCGAGGAAUGACUAAUGAUGGCAAGAAGUAUCACUGUACCAAGAGUUCAUAGGAUGGUGUGCAAUUCCUAUAACAAUCCCGAUAUAAAGAUGGUAAUACUCCAAGGUAGAACAGAACAAAAGCUGGAUUAGCAAUUUGAUCUGCGGAGCACAACUUCUUUGACCCAAUCCUGGAUAUGGAAGAGGUACUGGAGUUUGUUUCUCCUAGUCAUUCUGCGAUAGAAUGGCUUGACGGACCACAAGAGUAAUAGGCAUCGAUAAACGAACGCACGCAUACUCUUGACUAUCAAUUGAUAGACGAGGGUCAGAAUGCAACUAAAGAGAACAACUCAAAGGAACAUAUAAUUUUCUGAGUUGUGGAUGCAUAGAUUAGUAUGUCGAACCAAGUUCAACAUAUUUCUUCUGGAUAACCCAUGCAGAAAGGUAGAACUGGCAGAGUCACGAUUUAUGAAUGGAGAACUCCUCAAGAAUAAUCCUGUUGUGAUAUUUCAGUUCAACGAGGAACUUCUGCCAUAAGUAGUUCAUGGUAUUUGGAAGAAGAAGAUACCACGAACUUCAAGGACUAUCGCAAAGGUUACUAAUAUCCUAAAGGCACUAGCAAUUACUAUCAACAUGAAGUAGGUAGAGUGAAUCUCGGGUUCAAGAACCCAGGAACAGAAUACCUAUUACUAAGUAGCAUCACGGGAUGCUUUCGAGAAUAAAAGCCAGAAUCAUCACACUGGGAUCACAAAACAUUGCUAGAUUACUAGGUGACUCCCUAAACACCUAGGGCCAUAAUAGUAACUCCAACAUAAUGUCAAGGCAAUAGAAUACCUCAACUCAACAAUUAGUGUGAUUGAGCUGGCAUAAAGGAGCAUCGAAACCAGAGGAAAAGGAUUUUGCAAAUGCAUCAGACUAUUUAGAAACCUGGAAUGACUCGGACAGCAUAACGGCUGUAAAUGCUCAGAAGAGAUUUGAGACAUUCACAAAAAUGGUGGCAUAACCACUCAGAAGCACAAUAUCAAGGUUUCGAGAUCAAUAAUUAACAUACAGAGGUAGAAAUGAACUGAGGCUUAAUCCAACAAUCUUAUAAGUCUACGGACUAGUAAUACGUGAUCCUGAUAGAAAGAAGAGAAAGCCUAGUUUCUUAACCCCGUAGGAAAGAUAAUAUGACUCAGAUCAGAAGGCCAUGAGGUAUAAGGAGUAAAAAGAGCCUUACGUUCCAUCCCACAAUCAAUUCCCUUAUAUAACUAAAGAAUUUCUAGACUCAACUUCGACCAGUUUGGCUUGGUAAACCUACAGGCAGUCAAGCUCUGAUACCAACGCUGUCAGGACCCCGACUCAAUGCCACAUCGAUCUAGCAUGUAACACCUCAUAUCACUUUGCGGCCUCACGCACGGUAUUCCCACGGGUGUCGCCUUACCUUUGCCCGGGACCGUUUGCGCCUUUUGGCACACGUAUAUGACAGUGUCGCUAGCAUCCAUAUGAUAAGGAGCCCGGGCUGACAUGGCUAGUCGUAAACCCAAAGUGGCACAAACUUACAGGGACAGGCAUCCAUGACCCAGCAUCGAACGUGUCGGUCAUCAGCGAGUGAAUCCAGGCUGUAGCACUGGGCUAGCAGGACUCCGGUAUUCAUCGCGUGACAUUUCCCCGUAGGGACAGACACAGGAACGAAGAAGGACACAUGCCGGCCAGCCUAAGUGUUCCGGAGCAGUAGCAAGCUACCAUGGCUCGGUGGAAACACUAGGAGACAUUUCCCGGUAAGAGAGGCUACUAAAGAUAAACAACUAGAUGGUCAGAUCCCACACAUACCAAGCAUUUCAAUAGCAUACACACAAUAUGCUCGAUAUGUGCAAAUACAACAUGGCAUCACAACAUGACUCUACGACUCAAGUAAUUUAUUCAAUAGGCUCCGAGGAGCGAGAUAUUACAAACAUGGGUCUCAUGACCCAACAAUCAGAGCAUACAAGUCAAAACACAAGCGGAAGCUAUCAUGUCUGAGUACAGACAUCUAUAAAUGAAAAAGGCUGAGAAGCCUGACUAUCUAUCAGAUCCUGCCGAGGGCACAAGAUCGUAGCUGAGGUAUCAAGCUAAACGUCGAAGUCCACGCGAAACUACUAGUGAGACCGAAGUCUCUCUGCAAAAACAUAAAAUAGGCAAACGUGAGUACAAAUGUACCCAGCAAGACUUACAUCAGAACUAUCUACAUAUGCAUCAUUAUCAACAAAGGGAUGGUGGGGUUUAACUGCAGCAAGCCAGCUUUGACUCGGUGGCUAUCCUGAACUACGACUGCAAUGUAACUCUUUUGAGGUGGCGCACACGAGUCCACAUAUUCACCAUAUCAAUACACCACUAUGGAUCCGCUCCCGUCUCCCUACGAGAACGCCAUCCAUAGCACUCACGCUUAUCUUGCGCAUUUUAAAGUAUCCACUUUCACUUGUCUAUGAACUGAUAUAAGCAACCCAGAAGUCCUUUACCGCGGACACGGCUAUUCGAAUAGAUGAUGUUAACCCUGCAGGGGUGUACUUCUUCAUACAUGUUUCCACCACUUAGCGUUUGCACACGACAUGUGCUCGGCAAACUUCAAGCGAAAGCCGACGUGGGUGUAGACCACGACCUACCUAAACACUCAAGUCUCUAGUCCAGGUUUAUCGCCUAUUCGGGUUCCAUCCAUGAGGAGAUCCGGCCGGAGUUUCGCUCACAGCCCCAAACGAUGUGAACAGGGUUCCGUGACACCAAACGGGCGCCCGGUUUACCCGGCCACGUGCCUACCGCAUCACAGCCCACCCCUACGGUCAGCGCUGUCCACGGCCUCCAGCAUACUACAAACACCAGAAACUACUUGCAACUCCUGGACAGAGGACAAGGGUGAAUAAGAAGUCGAGCGGGGUCAUAUUUCAGGGCCCAAUGUAUGGUAGUAACUGAAUCAUGGAUCACAAACACAGAACUCAGUUCCUGAGGACGGCUGCAAUGAGACAACCCACCAUGUACUCCUACAUGGCCUCUCACCGCUACCUUUACCAAAUCGUGUUCACACACUUAGCUCACACACAGUAGGACAUGUUCACACACCUCUGAUUCAUCCCCGAUGAAUCAGACCUGACUCAACUCUAAGCAGUAGCAGGCAUGACAAACAAGCAUGAAUGAGUAGGCACAUCAGGGCUCAAACAACUCCUACUCAUGCUAGUGGGUUUCAUCUAUUUACUGUGGCAAUGACAGGUCAUGCAGAGGAUAAAGGGGUUCAGCUACCGCAGCAAGUAACAGAUGAAUCGGUGUUGUCCUAAUGCAGUAAAAGAGAGCAGGAGCGAGAGAGUAGGUUUGUAUCGGAAUGAACAAGGGGAUUUUGCUUGCCUGGCACUUCUGAAGAUAACAUUGAGUCUUCAUCAGUGUCAACGAUCACAUCAUCGGUAUCACGUCUAUCGGGAGGGGACAAAUACCGGCAACACAGAAGGGAACACAAUCAAUGCAAUGCACAAUAUGAUGCAUGAUCAUGACAUGGCAAAUGAAUGUGUUUUGGGCUAAUGCAACUAGCAACAGAUUAAAUGAAGUUGGUUUGAAUACAAGAUUCAAAUUCAAACUCCAUAUGUGAUUAUUCAAAUGCCAUUUAAUUGAUUUGUGCUAAACAGCAGCUAUAAGUUGUUCUAACAUGCAUGAAAAUGGUACAGAUGGAUUCCUUGAAUUUUUCUGAUAAUUUUUCAUAUAUAAUUUAUUUAAUUUGGAGCUACGGUUGAAUUUCUAUGAAUUUUAGAAGUUUUAGGCAUUUUCUGAAAUUUCCUGAAUUAUAAAAAAAUCCAGAAAAUACUUAUUGCGUCAGCCCCACGUCACAGUGACGUCAGCAGGGUCAACUGGGCGCCCCAGGUCAAAUCUGACGUGUGGGGGCCACACGUCAGUGACACAGGAGCUAAUCCCGGUCAAACCCAGCGCUGACUGGGGUUUGACCAGGGGUGGGGCCCGCUGUCAGUGGCCUAGGGGGUUGAUUAGUGUGGGCGGGGUUAGCCGCUAAUGAUGCCCACGUCAUCAUCGCCGGACUUACGCCGGCGGCGACCAAAAUGGCGGCGGCAACGCGCCGGACUUGCGCUAAAGGCGACGGAGGCGGCGGCUGGGGGCACCGGGGCGUAGCCCGGGCUCUCCCGCAUCUGAUGGGGUAGGUGGGAGGCUGCGGGAACGCCGGGGCUCGUCGGAACGGAGCUCGCGGCGGCGCCGGAGUUCGGGUGGUAAUGGGCGCGAGGCCCUGGUGGGGUUUUGGGCAAGCUGAGCUGCGCAUGGGCUUCCUGUGAGCCCCACGAGCUCAAAGCCGUGCUCGGACGCGACCGAAACAGGCCAUGGCCGCGACGGCAGCAUGGCCGGCGGCAGCGAGCUCCGGUCGUCGGCAAAGUGGCAGCUGCGGUGUGCAAACGAGAGAACGGAGAGGGGGAAACAGCACAGGAGCUCACAGCGGGUGCAGAGGUGGCCUCGGCGAGCUCGGGGAGGCACCGAAGCCGACGAAUUUGACGAAGAUGGCCGGCGGGUCCGAGGUAGAAGACGACGUCGAUGGCGGCGAUGCGGCACGUCCGGGGCCUCGUGGCUCGUUGAGGAGGUAGAGGGAGGACCCGCGGAGCUUCCUGGGGCGUCGGUGAGGCUAGGGGUGGCCGGUGGCCAUGGGUACGGCGACGAUGGCGGCGAGCUCCGCUCGGUGGUGUGCGCGAGAGGGAAACAGAGGAGGGAAUGGGGUCCAGGGGGAGAGAGGGGAGGUGCAGGGGGCGAGGGCGUCUCCGUGGCGUCGCGAGGGAGUCGGGGAGGCUGCCACGGCGAAGCAGGAGGUGGCCGGCGCUCUUCGGGCGCGCGCCACGCCUCGCCUCUGCCUACUGGCAGAGGAAGAAGAGGACAAGGGGGGGAAGGAGGUGGGCUGGGCCGCGCUGGGCCGGUCCUGUUGGGCUGCACGGGUAAGUGGCCAGGUAAAACUCUCUCCCUCUCUCUUUUUUUUAAUUCUGUUUUCUAUUUUGCAGGUUUGUUUUGAAUUUGGUUUUGAAACCAAUUCAAUUUAUUUUGCUUCUGACAAUAUUUUUAGGAGCUAAAAGAAUUAAAACAAUGCUCCACAAAAAUAUUUCAGAAUUAUUGGACCUAUAUUUAUUUAACAGUAGAUAUAAGUCCAAUUCAAAUAGUUAUUGAUUUAAUUCAAAUACCCAAAAUAAAUGUUUCUGAGAUACCGAAAAUAUUGGUUUGGAUUUUACCUCUUGCCAGUAUUUCCAGAGGAUAACAAGAACAUUUUCUUGGACUUAUUUGAGGCAAUUUUUAUCUUGAUCAUUUCAUUUUUUUUAAAGGAUUCUGAGGCUUUGAAAAUUCCUCAAUUCAAAUUUCAUUUGAAUUUAAACAUGAUGCUCACAUGAGGUCUAGCCUAGUGCAUUGCCAGAAGCUAGGGAUGUGACACCCGUCAUCGUCCCCCACCCCACCGUCGCCGCCUCGCCUCCUCGUCCACUCCCCGAGCGCCGUCAUCGGGCGCCGCCCCGACGUCGAGCUCCUCCGUCCUCGACCUUCUCCUCGCCGGAUCUGCGACGGCGACCCAUCGCCCGACCCCGACUCCUCCCCGCGCCCGCCUCGCUCAACUACAGGGCUUUGUGAGCCCCCUCCCCUUCUCCUCUCUGCCUUCCUCACCCGCCUGCUAGUUCGUCGUGGCGCCGCCGUGCUCGCCCAUGCUCGCGGACACUGCCGCCCCGCUUGUGCCCCGCCACGUCCCUCGCCGUCCGGGCGUGUGCCAAGCCCCGCCCGGCUUGCCCCGCUCACCUGCCGCCGCUCUCCCUCCGCUGUGCAGCCCUGCUGCUGCUGCUGCUCCGCAGCGGGCGUCGCUCACCGCGCGUCCGCGCUGUUCGGGUCCCGCAUCGCCGUGCUGCCCCGCACUGGCCCGGUCGCACCACCCCCCAGCCUGCGCCGCCCAGCCCCGGUGCUGCCCCGCCGUGGCCUCGCUGGUGCCAUCUCCAGUGCCCGGCGCCCCUCCGUGCCCGCUGGCCCUCGUCCGGGUCGGGCACCUCCAGCGCCCCCUCGUCCGCACCCGCACGCUUGCGCGCCCGCUAACCCGCAUGGACCCCGUGGGCCUAUGACACAUGGGCCCUGCCCAGAACGUUUUUUAUAAAAAAAUAAGAAGAAAAUAAAUAAAUAAAAUUAAUUAUUAAUUAAUUAAUUAAUUAAUUAAGUUAAUUAAUCCUGUUUAAUUAAUCUAAUUAACUAGGUAGAUUAAUUAAACGGUAAUUAGUUUAGCUAAAUCCUAGUUAACCUAAAACAGAGUAUGACAGGUGGGUCCCACUGGACCCACAUGUCAGUUUGACUUAGUCAACCCCUAUUGACUGCUGAUGUCAACAUGACAUCAUGCUGAUGUCAUUAAUCCUGUUUCAAAUUAAAUUAAAUAAUUAAUUGAAUUCUAGAAAUUAGUAAAAUCUUUAGAUAAUCAUAUCUUUUAAUCCGUAACUCGGAUUAAAUUAUUUUCAACAUGAAAGUUGCUCAGAACGAUGAGACGAACCCGGGUACGCAGGUCGUUCGUCCGCCACGUAUCCCUAGCAUACCGAACUCACAACUUUCCCCCUCCGAUUCAUCUGUCUGAAAACGCAAAACACCGGGAAUACCUUCCCGGAUGUUUCCCCCUUCACCGGUACCACCUCGUACCGCGUUAGGGCACGCCUAACACCACGCUUUGUCAUGUCAUGCAUCGUCAUGCAUUUGUUUGCAUUGUAUUUAUUGUUUCUUCCCCCUCUUCUCUCGCUAGACACCGAGACCGACGCCGCUGCUACCCAGUUCGACUACGGUGUUGACGACCACUCUCUCUUGCCAGAGCAACCAGGCAAGCCCCCCCUUUGAUCACCAGAUAUCGCCUACUCUUCUCUAUACUGCUUGCAUUAGAGUAGUGUAGCAUGUUGCUGCUUUCCGUUAUUCCUAUCCUGAUGCAUAGCCUGUCCUUGCUACUACUGUUGUUACCAUUACCUGCUAUCUCACUGCUUAGUAUAGGAUGCUAGUGUUCCAUCAGUGACCCUACACUCUUGUCCGUCUGCCAUGCUAUACUACUGGGCCGUGAUCACUUCGGGAGGUGAUCACGGGAAAAUACUAUAUAUUUAUACAGUUACAUUACCUGUGGUACUGUUCAGAGUUGGGAGCUGAAGGGGCAGGUGGCUCCAUCCCGGUAGAGGUGGGCCUGGGUUCCCGACGGCCCUCGACUGUUACUUUGUGGUGGAGCGACAGGGCAGGUUGAGACCACCUAGGAGAGAGGUGGGCCUGGCCCUGGUCGGUGUUCGCGGAUACUUAACACGUUUAACGAGAUCUUGGUAUUUGAUCUGAGUCUGGCCACUGGCCUAUACGCACUAAGCAUCUACGCGGGGACAGUUAUGGGCACUCGAUGUCAUGGUAUCAGCCGAAGCCUUCGUGACGUCAGCGACUGAGUGGCGCGCGCCGGAUUGGACCGUAAGCCUGCUCUUGUAUUAAGGGGGCUAGUUCUGCUUCCGGCCGCGUACGCAACGUGCAGAUGUGCAAUGGGUGAUGGGCCCAGACCCCUGCGCCAUAGGAUUUAGACCGGCGUGCUGACCUCUCUGUUGUGCCUAGGUAGGGCUGUGACGUGUUGAUCUUCCGAGGCCGGGCAUGACCCAGGAAAGUGUGUCCGGCCAAAUGGGAUCGAGCGUGUUGGGUUAUGUGGUGCACCCCUGCAGGGAUGUUAAUCUAUUUGAAUAGCCGUGAUCUUCGCUAACAGGACGGCUUGGAGUUGUACCUUGACCUUAUGACAACUAGAACCGGAUAAUUAAUAAAAACACACCCUUCCAAGUGCCAGAUACAACCGGUGAUCGCUCUCUCACAGGGCGACGAGGGGAGGAUCAUCGGUUAGGAUUAUGCUAUGUGAUGAUACUUGGAGGACUUCAGUCUACUCUGUUCUACAUGUUGCAAGACGGAGGCUGCCAGAAUAGUUGUCUUCGAAAGGACUAGCUAUCCCCCCUUAUCCCGGCUUUCUGCAGUUCAGUCCACAUAUAAUAGCCUUAUUCCAGUUGAUACCAAUGCGUACAUAUGUAGUAUAGCUCCUUGCUUGCGAGUACUUUGGAUGAGUACUCACGGUUGCUUUCUUCCUCUUUUCCCCCUAUCCCUUCUACCUGGUUGUCGCACCCAGAUGUUGGAGCCCAGGAGCCAGACGCCACCUUCGACGACGACUCCUACUACACCGGAGGUGCCUACUACUACGUGCUGCCCACUGACGACGACCAGGAGUAGUUUAGGAGGAUCCCAGGCAGGAGGCCUGCGCCUCUUUCGAUCUGUAUCCUAGUUUGUGCUAGCCUUCUUAAGGCAAACUUGUUUAACUUAUGUCUGUACUUAGAUAUUGUUGCUUUCGCUGACUCGUCUAUGAUCGAGCUCUUGUAUUUGAGCCCUCGAGGCCCCUGGCUUGUAAUAUGAUGCUUGUAUGACUUAUUUUAUUUGUAGAGUUGUGUUGUGAUAUCUUCCCGUGAGUUCCUGAUCUUGAUCGUACACGUUUGCGUGUAUGAUUAGUGUACGAUUGAAUCGGGGGCGUCACAGUCGCGCCUUGACCGCCCUCCACCUCCCAGCCAUGGCCGCCCUCUAGCGCCGCACCUUGACCGCCCUCCACCUCCCCGCCAUGGCUGCCCUCCGACGCCGCGCCUUGACCGUCCUACUUCAUCCCGCCAUGGCCGCCCUUCGCCCGCCCGCCAUGGUCGCCCGAGGACGAGGCCGGUGCAGCGCUGUGGCCUUCCUCCACCUCGCCGUCCAUCCCUUCACCUGUAGCAACGUCGACCACGCCCUCCUCCAUCCGCUCUUCUAGCCUCGCGCCGCCGCUGUGAGGAUUAGGGAUCGACCGCCGCCACUGUGUAGAGUUAGGGAUCAAGGAGAAGGGGAAUCUGGAGAAGAAGGGCUCGUGACGGUUCGAUGUGCGGGAUUUUGUUUUUCUGUUUUUUUUUUCAACGUCCUACAACAGGGAAAAAAAUGACUUUUCAAGUCGCGGUUGACGGUGUUAACAGCAAAAACUAACGGAAGUGUCAAAGAAGGAAGAAAAUGAAGUUGUUGUGUCAAAAAAGUAAAAAUAAAAUUUUUAGGGCCAAAAAAGGAACCAAAUUUUAAUAAAGGGCCAAAUAAGGAAUUCUCUCUAUGAGAAGUGCUGACUUUGUUUGUUGAUUUAGCAGAAGCAAGUUUACUUCAGACAAUAUUCAUGCCAUCAAUCUCAUACAUAAAGCGUCAAUAAAGGAAUCCGCAACAAAUCAUUAACAAUUAUAUAUUGGUCUAGCUUUUGUCACACGGAAAAAAUUAUCAACCAACAGGCUGGAUCGUCUACUUACUUGGGUCACCAUGAUCCACUAGCGGCACUAGCGAGUCCUUCCAUCGAUUCCUCUUCUGCUUCUCAUCAUGGUAUAUGCAUGCCGUGAGCCUGCAGGAAGGCCUCUCGGUGCAGGUACCAGUAACUUACAUGAAAUGUAUUUUUCCAAUCUAAUUUUUAUGUUCUUGAAUGAUGGCCUUCUUAGUAUAGUAUGUAAUGCCAAUUUGUAAAAAAAAGGUAUAGCAGGUAUGUCCACGGAGAUCAAUUAAUGAUAGAGUUCUCUUUCAAUUGCCGGCACUGCUUUGUCGUAUCACUAUGUAUGUACACCACCAGGAAGCAUGCAACCACAUAUGGAACGACCAAGAGAGUGGAUGUACCGUGUAUCCGAAAUUGGAAGGUUGCCUUUUCCUUGGAUUUGCGGCCUCAAGUCAUUGGGUAGAACCAUCUGCAUCGUGUUGUUUCCUGGAGAUCAAAAUUUCAAAGCGUUGCUUUAGUUUCAUGGAUUUGUAGCCCAAGAGCUGGCAGUUAGUGAACGAGGAGCAGGUGCCACAUAUUGAGAUGAUGGCUUCAUCUAUUAGAAAUAAGGAGUGGGUGUGCUCUUGAUUUCAUCGGAACUUGGAAGUGAUCUUCCUGAUUUCACCUGCAUGUCCAGAUAAUGAAAGGUGUCUUUUUCUUGGAUCUGUGGCUUCAUGUGAUUAGAAUAGAACCAUCUGCAUCGUGUUGUUUCCUGGAGAUCAGAGUUUUGCAUUGCUUUGUUUCAUGUAGUUUGUAGCGCAAGAAGUAGCAGUAGUGAACGAGGAGUAGGUGUGACAUAUAGAGAAUAUGGCUUCAUACAUUAGAAAUCUGGAGUAGAUGUGUUAUGGAUUUUGUAUGAACUUAGAAGUGGUAUUCCUGAUAUCACUUGCAGUUCGAACAAAAGCUUCUCCCUCACUUUCAGGGAUUGUUGCCCGCUUCCUCCAAGUAACACAUACAAAUAUUUCAUUAGGAAAUGAAGUCACAUAGUUUUGCAUUACGAGAAUCGGUGUGCUCAAACAAAAUAAGUCGUAAAUGCAUUUUAUUUGUAGUUUUCUUUAUGUUGAUAUCAACAUGACAUAAUAAAAGAAAUUCACUUUAAUUUGACAUUUCAAAUGCAAGAAAGCAAAAUUACUUAUUUUGUGCACUAUAUUUCACAUAUUUAUCUAAAUAAAUACUCCCUCCAUUCCAAAAUAUAGUGCGCCCGCGCUUCCCGAGGUCCAACUUUGACCGUAAAUUUAACCAACGAGACCAACUGCGGCGGGAGAAAAAAUUAUAUAAUUGAAAACUUCUUUCGAAUACGAAUUCACUGAUAUAAUUUUUGCUCCCGCCGCAAUCGGUCUUGGUAGUUAAAUUUAUGGUCAAAGUUGAAGCACGUGGAUAGAGGAAGCACUACAUUGUGGAAUGGAGGGAGUAUAUCACAAGUUGACACCGAAAUGCAUGCUCGCACAAACUUGAUGUAUACCUAAUUUAUAUAAAAUUGAUAAGUAAGAAUUAGCUAUGUCUUGAUAUGAUAAAUUUGUGUGAGAAUCAUCGUCUAUUGCAUAAUCACUUGCAUCCAUAACCAGAUCAUGUGGAGUAUCCUAAAAAAAUCAUAAUAAUUCUUGACAUCCCCAUUUAUUAGAAUGAUAUAUCACUGUAUGCAUUCGUAUAACUUAUGAUAUUUUGUCAUCAGCAUGUUUGUUCCUUUCUCACUAAUCUUUCAUUAAUUUAAUUUCACAAUGUAUAUUUUGCAGUCAUGGGUAAUCUAUAAAGAUGGAAGUAGCUAUCAUUCACACUGUGAUCUGCAGUUAAAUAUUCUUACGAUGUUCAUAUCAUUUAACCCCAUAAUUUCUUGAUAGGGAUUCUCUUGCAGUUAAUUUCAUUUAAUGAAUGAUAUCUACAUCAAAACCAAAAUAUAGAAUGGAAGUGCUCACAUAUCUAGCAACAAGCUUAAGUGGGCAAGGUAAUCUGAGCUUACAAACUUGGCAUUUUAAGCCAACUCCGAAAACAAAGAUAACAAAGAAAUUGUCUAUGUAAUGUAUAGGCAUGUAAUCCAUACAUAACUAGGAUAAAAUAGUGACUAAAACAGUAUGAAAUUACACAAUAAUAAUAAUAAAUGUAUAUUUUGUUUAAACUAUAUAUAUUGAUACCAAAUUUGAAUUUUCCAAUUAUAAUUAUCUAGAUAACAUAUAGGGAUGGAAUCGCCACAUAAGCAGGAUAAAAUAUGGACUGAAAGACUAUGAAAUCACACUGAAUUGACAUAAAUUUAUAUGUUUGUUUAAAUUAUAUUAGUACCAAAUUUUAAAAUAUCAAAUUAUAAAUGGUUCCAAAUUUAUGUGUUGGACGCUAAAUAAUAUACAAAAUCUACAGAGUUCAAAAUUUAAAAUGUCUAUCAUUCAAAAUAACUACCCCGUGCGAAUGCACGGGUUGGCGACUGGUUAUAAUAAUUACCCAAGAAAAAAUAAGAAUUAUUUCACACUUCCUACUGAAAACAACACAAAAUAAAUACUUGCUCGCUAUUACAGAAUAGUGCUACACAAAUGCCAGUAAGAGAAUACCACGUAACCAUCACCUACCAUUCCCUACACACCCAUCACGUCUCUAGUUAUAUAGUCCUAGUACCACCGAGGUGUGUCAAGCGUCAGUGCCUUGCAUGCAUACAGAGACAUAAACCACAACCCAUGAUGAGGAGGAGCUCAACAUUACAGCCCUUCAUAGGUCACUGGGAAAUGUAAUUAGCCCGAUAAUUGCCAAAUACAAGAGUGCAAGCUUGGGCAAAAAGCCAAAUGGUAGCUUUAAUUUUGGAAGUUCAAAUCCAUAGUUUUACGUUUCAAAAACUUUUGAAAAAUAGACAUAUACCCAAAGACACAUUGUACAUGUGUGCAAAUUUUCAUGAUGAAAUAGGUUAAAAUGAGAGGUAAAUAAAAAAAUUGUGGCUUUUCAGCACAUGUAUUGUUCAUCCUCAAAUUCCAUGAUUUCUUUUGUGCAAAUCACAAUUAAAGAUAUUUCUUCAUGAAAUUUUACACACAUAUACAUUACAUCCUUGUGUCCUUGACCAUAUGCAAAUCCAUGUCCAAUGCAGUGUUACCCAGACUGCAGUGUCAUGUCCAUGCAGGAUUCCACCUUUUACAUGCCCAUGUUGAUAAGGUCCCCAAUAAUAUAUAAGAUCAUGUUGAAUAACCUAUAAGUACACUGUUGAAGCUUCCUAGCUUUGCCGAGAAUACAUUCUCCCCAUUUAAGAAAGAAGUACACAAAAAAUCCUCAAUGAAAAAGGUUGUGUGCAUCACUUGAUGCAGCAGUUGGGGGUGUACCUACCUUUUCAAAAGGGAUUUUCUUUUACCAAAUGGGGGCAGAUUCGGUAUUAGGAGUCAAAUUUGAAUUCAUGUACCGGACCCGGAGUGUUAUGAAUUUUUUGUGUUUCCAAAAUAGUAUUUCUAGAAUGGACACCUAAAUCCGAAAAGGACCGCAACACUAGAAUAUGCGUUGAUACAAUAUAAUCUUCAUUUGUUUUUAAGAAUGUGUUUUUUCACAUUGAUCUAUGCUAAAAGAUACUGACACGUGCCAUGCAGAGGAUGUACUGAGACUGAGCACAGUAUGAAAAAUAGGACAAUUGGACAAAUAUCCCGCCAUGUUCAACACCCUCACGUUUAGUGAAGCCAUGACCCCUCACCCUGCGCCCCCUUCCUUUGCCUAGCCAGCAUACCCUUGGUGUUGAAGUUGUGUCGAAAGAUCCAUUUCUCAAAGAUGGCUUUCACUCAUGUUGGAUGAGGACCCAAAGACCAAGGUCGUUUUGCGACAAAGCAUGAAAUACAUCAAACAUUGCAUGAUGCCAGUUCAGAUCCCAGAUUACUACUUUAUAAGAAGUAAUACACGAAAUGGACAGGAAAAUAUACAUUGAAAAUUUCUUUUUUGGGAUGAAAUAGCCCGAUAUUUCUCAUAGGUACUAUUCAUCUCAUUUGCAUUAUGCAUUGUCUCUACUGGGAUGGAAUUGAGUGCAAAACAGGGUUGAGGUGGCGUGUACGAAGAAGCUGGCAUAGAUCGACAGGAAGAUGCGGUCAACCGCACAAAAGACAAAACGAGCUGGUGUGAUGCGGGAGCCGAGGGUGAUGUUGUCGAGUGCGAAACGAGUGAUGUUGGGCUGAGUCUAGCCAACGUUUUUGGAGGGGAGUGGCGCAUGCAUGUUAGAGUGGGAGGCAAUCCCAGAUUGGAGUGGAUGUGGGUGUCAGACACAGGGGUAUGAGGCAGGUCACAGUCGGAGCUUGAAGUAGACUAGGCGAAAGGGCUCAAGAGGCACAUGAUUCCUUGCGGGAGGCAUGUGUGUAGGUUAGUGUGUGGUAUAAACAUAUGGUAAACAAUGUUAAUAAAAAAAUAACAUGGGAGGACACUAACUUUUUGAGUUUGAAGAUCAAGACACCGAUACCCCUUGUGCAUGAUAUCGCUAGUGGCCCAGAGGAGAUGCCCGACUUUCCAUUUUGAAGGGAGGUGCGGGGCAUACAAUGGAAAGAACUCGGACAUGUAGUCCUCCAGGUCAUAGUUGUGGAAUUUUCCAACGAAAGAACUCGUCUAGGUUACAUGUUAUUGUGUGUCAAAAGAUUAUGCAUAUAUAAUUCACAUGUUCUUGUUUGUGAGAAUAUUUUCACGAUUUUAAAAAGUUUGUGCACGUAUAUCAAAAAUGAAAAGGAAGCAAAGAAACAAACAAAAAAGGAGAGAAAAAAGAAAGCCAAACUUUAAUACAUUGAUAAAUAGAGAAUGAAAUUAAAUAAUAUAGAAUAAUAGAAACCAUAAAACAUAAAUACCAAAGGAAACAAAAGAAAAAGAGGAUCAUAUAUAAUGAAAAUGAAAUAAAUAAAAACGGAACUAGUAUUACCGGGCCUCCGCCUAUACUAGAGAGAGGUCCUGUACGAUGCCCGCGUGCGUCAAACAAUCGCACCUUUGCACCGGCGCGAUACAUCUAGGCGGUCCAUUUAGAAACACUCUAGCUUGCGAUACACUUUAACGUGCCAGUUUUAAAUAGGGUUUCCAAAGUAUUUCUUAAAAUAUGAAUCUUUUCUAAAGUACAUGGCAAAUAUUUUUUAAUGCACGAUGUACUCUUUCUAGAUACACAAUAGUCAUUUUAAAUACAUGACUAAUAAUUUUGAUGCACGAAGAACAUUUUUGAAAUACAUGGUGCAUUAUGGGUACUGGAAGACCAAUUUUCUAGGUAAUGGAAGACCAAUUUCUUAUAACCGGAUGGAUAUUUUUGAAAUAUCAUAUGCAUUUUAAUUUCCUUAGAUGCAUUCUGGAGAUUUGCUAAAAUUAGCUCUGACACUUGACAUUACGAUUCGCUAAAAUUGCUCCACCACCAACUGAGAUGGAACUUUUAAUAAAUUGUUAACAUUUUAAUAAAUUAAGUCAAAACAUGUUUCCAAAUAUAUAAAUCAGGAGAAAUUGUACAUCUUUUUAGACCAGCGAGCUGUACAUAGCCUGCAAACCCGGCUUUAAAACACUAGUGGGAUCAAUUCUUUUAAACACUAGUUUUUUUAGGGGCUUUUAAACACUAGUGGGAUCAGACGGGAUAAUAGGGCAGCCCAUCACGCACAGCAGGCUCGCUAAUUCCCACCCAGAUGCCGAGUGAGCGAUUAGCGAACAAGGUGGGCUGGCCCAAAGAUGAGAUAACUCACGCGCUACAGUUGACGGUUUUGGGAACCUCCUAGAAGAUUGCUGAUUGGUUUUCGGAAGCUUCUAGAAGGUUCCUGAACCAGUUUUAAGUGGUUUUCAGUUUUUUUGUGGUUUUUUAUUUCUUUUUCUCUUUCUCUUUUUCUGUUUCAUUUUUUCCUUCUCCUUUUUCGUAUUUCUCUUUCUUUUUUCAGUUUCUCAAUAUCCUUUGUAAUUCCUUUUCUACUAUUUUUUCUUUCUAUUUUUAUGUUUCAGAAUUUCAAUAUUUGUGUGAAAUUUCAAAAAAUGUUUGUAAUUAGAAAAACAUGUUGCUCUUUUUUAAAAACUUCCAAAAACAUUGGUGAUUUAAAAAAACUAUUCACAUACUUGAAAAAACAUAAGCCUUUUAAACAGACCAUAAUUUCAAAACAUUGUUUCUGUGCCAUUUUUUUCAAAAUUCAUCAAAAUACUUGAUUUUCAAAAAAUGUUCACCUUUCAAAAUAUGUUCCGAUUUUCAAAUUUUGUUCCCAAAUUCAACGAAUGAUAUUAUAUUUGAAUUUUUAAAUUUUGUUCAGAGUUUCAAAUUUUGUUCACAGAUGCAAAGAAUGUUCACUUUAUUCAAAUUUGUCAUGUUUUCAAAAAAUGUUUCAUAAAUUCAAAAAAGGUUCAUGUUUAUAAAUUUAUUCCAAAAAUUGUCCAUUUUUGUCAAAACAAUUGGAAUUGGAAAAAUGUUCCCAUUUUUCAAAAUUUAUUCACAAAUUCAUAUUUCCAUUUUUAAAUUGGGUUACAACUCAAAAAAAUUGGUUGUACUUGUUCAGGUAUUUAAAAUUGUUCAGAUUUUUUUAAAUGUAUUCGGAACUUUCUUUAAUUGUUUGAAAAAAGAUAAAAUAUUUGGAUCUACCGAUAUAGUUAGUUCUAAAGGUUUUUGCUCCGGAUGUUUAAAACUAGCGUUGAUUAGCUCCAUUCCUUAGGUAGCUGUCUCUACUAGCGCCGACUCACGAGUUCAAAUCCUUGCCGAAACAUCCCUUUUUCCGCGUUGUUUUUUUACACCACUGGCUGCAACUGCGUGGGCUGACCAAGGCGAAGACUGCCCUGUGUGAAGCCCCGCCAGUCUGCCGCAUUUUUCUGAGUAGUUUUUUAAACCAUUGGCUGCUCCUGCAUGGGCCGGCCGAGGCCAAGACUGCCCUAUGCGAAGCCCCGUCAGUCUGCUGCAGAAUGCGGCAGAGAUGAGAUCCCUAUAUAUGCUCCCUAUGAAGAUUUGUGAAAACGUGACCGGCGGAAGCUUGCUGGUCGCCCACAUGGAGCCUAAAUGGGACAUGACAAUUACAAAAACAGCUUCAUUUUUUCGUUUCAUUUUUUUAUGAGAAACAUACAAUACUACCAGUUAGUAAACAAAGAAGUAAUAAAAGAUAUUAUUUUUAAAAAUAUUACCCAACCAUAUUAACAAAAUAAACGUUCAUUUACUCCUAAAGAUACUGGUGUACAUUUCUAAAAGUGUACAUGUUUUUUUAGAAAUGUCUGUGUAAUUAAAUAAAUUUUUCAUAUGGUUUAACAUAUUCAUGGAAUGUCAAAGGAGUGUUCAUGCAUUUCAAAAGUAUUCAUGUAAUUAAAAGAGGUCUUCAUGUAUUUUUUCAAAAUAGUCAUAUGCUUUCAUAUAGUGCUCAUGGCCUUUAAAAAUAUAGUCAUGAAACUAUAAAAUUGUUCACGCAUAUUAGAAAAAUGUUCAUGCAAUUGUUUACCUAUUUAAAAAAAUAAUGUAACUUUAAAAAGUGUUCACAUACUUUUUCUAUAAAAUCGUUUGGUUUUAAAAAUGCUCACUUGUUAUUCAACAUAUAUUUAUAUUACUUGUAAAUAAAAAAUAGUUUUUUUCUACAGAAAUGAACAAAGAAAUAAAAGGAAAAAAUAAUACAAAAGGAAAAACAAAAUAAAAGUAAAAUUAAAAUUGAAAAUGGAAAACUGACGACAUAAAAAGAUCAAGGGAAGAAAAAAUGAAGAAAAACUGGCAAAGCCAGAUGAAAAAAAUGGAACAUGCCCAUCCAGUCCUAUGCUGUUGGGCAUUGGCCCACACCAAGUACGAACGUAAGAUUCCUAUGCUAAAUACUGCUAUAAGCGGUAUAUAACAUUUAGGGAAAAACCAUAUAUCUUUUUUGGCAGUGAAGAAGCUACUACAUGCGAGCUUUACUUUGAGCCUAACUACGUGUCAUACUUGGGUGCACAACUUAGCCUUCUUUUGUGAAAUGGUAAGUUGAUUGAAUUUUCUUUAAGAGAGCUAAUCCUCUUUCCAUUAGUUGUUCAACGGAAAUACUACAUGUCUUACAAGUAGCAAAAAAAGGGAACAUGAAAGAGAAUUGUGAGUUGAGAACAUCCUUUGAAGCUUCAGCCCCGAGCAACAUCACAAAGAUGGCAUUCCACAUGGUAAAGCAGGGGGCGCGUUCUGAAGAUGAUGUGUGUCGUUGUGAGGAGUGAGAGGCGGGGAAGGAGCUAGCACCAUUUGUGAGGAGGUAUUUGUUAGCAAUGAUCACAAACUAGAAUGUGGCUUAGCCAGGGACGAAGCCAAGGCAGGGGGGAUACGUACCACUAAAAUUUAGACGGGCCCAAGUAGGAAUUGUUUCUUUUUUACAUAUAUGAUUGAAGGGUAUAUGUAAAAAAAUCAAUCUUAGUGGGCACAAUGACCACGCGCUAAAUGGCACCCUCUCAAAAUGAACCACUCAUUGAUCGACCAUGACUAUUUUUUAGGGACCGAUACCUGGUUUUCUCGAUGGAAUCCUACAUAGGCGGUCUAGGGUUUUUACUACGGCACAACAAUGGACAUCAUGCAUUCUUCUCGAUGGAAAUCUAGAUCUAGUGGUCCUCCUUUUACUUUAAAGAUCAGUGUGUCCACCGAGCGCCACACAUAUGGAGACUAGUGAGUUAAUUGGCUUCUUGCGAUGGAGAGAGGCUUAAUGAACCUAUGGGCUAUAAUUUUUCCUAUGGAAUAUGCAAGUCGUGGCUGGAGCCCAAGGGAAGACAAGAUAUUAGAAUGCUCUAGGAGGGUAAGACCAUAAAGUCCAACAGCCAAAAGCGCACAGCUUGUAAGAGGGUUAGGACGGUGCUCAAUAUUGAUGUCAUCAAAAUAUAUGUGCAAAAUACCAAACCAGCCCACAGGUUUUGCAAAAUCUAGGGGUGGCUUCUCUACCCAACUAGAAACUGAAAUUACAAACACUUCCGUCUAGAAGUGAAAUUACGAUAUACCAACAUCGGAUAUGGCUGCAGUAUAUGGAAGCUUCCUAGUGUUUUUUCCUUGCGAAAAGGGAAGCUUCCUAGUUGAGACCAAACCAUAUAAAGUAGGUUGCAAUGCUUACAUAGGCUCAGCCUUGACGAUCCUGGAACAACCAACGUCAGAUUUGACAAAACCUUUUGUUGUCUCCUUUUCUUUUCCUCGAUCCUUUUUGUUUUUGUUCCUUUUCCUAUCUGGACUAAUAGUUAGGGCGCUGUGAUUGCAAAUAUUGUUAUAGGGCAUAAAUAGGAUGGCACCUGCACUGCACAUACCGGCAUCUUUCCACCAAGUAAAACCAAGUAAAAGGGAAAUGUUUCUUAGAAAAGCUUACAGUCUCCCCACCGAUGACACUAAUAUAGAUUAAUAAAGACCACAUAGUACUAGAUAAACAGAUACUCUAAGUACUAGUACAUUGAUAGAUGGUGCUGCGGCGGUGCGGCCCACCUACUCAGCAGUCCCAAGCCGCUACACAUACAUAAAUACACAGUGCAUCUAGAGUGUCCAUAGUCCAUACACAAAUACAGAAACGGCAGCCACAACCCACAACAUGCACAACGGAUCGAGCUCGCAAGUGUUCAUCAUGCCCGCUGCCGGCCAUGUCCACUACCUUGUCGCGGGAGGCUCCGGAGGAGGCGACGAGCCCAGGUACCCCUGGACCUUCAAGUCCCUGCACGAGGUGGACGCCGUCGUCCCUGCUAUCGCCCGUGGCAGCAAGAGGCCGGCCGCCGUCCCCGGUGGAGCACAGGUAGAGCCCUACGGGUGCCCCAUCUGCUUCCGCGUGUUUGCCACUGCCAAGGCCGUCCAUGGCCACAUGCGCAGCCACACGGACCGCACCUGGCGCGGCAUGGAGCCGCCCCGGCCGCCGCCCCUGGGCGAGAUCCGUUACCCGUACGUGUGCGACCGCUGCAAGAUGCCGUUCCAGACGCGGCAGGCGCUCGGCGGCCACCGCGCCAGCCACAAUGGUAAGAAAGGCUGCUCCUGGCUCGAAAGAGAGGAGCUCGCCGCCGCCGAAGAAGCUCGGAAGCCCGUCGUGUUCAGCGUUGAUCUGAACCUUCCGGCUCCCGAGGCAGAUCAGGAACAGGGGGAGGAGUAGUAGGAGUCAUCAACAGAUCGAUCGAGCAGCUUGCUAGUGUUCUCAGUUGACAGUUGCUGGAGCUGUGCUUGCGUGUGCUAUAUUUGGUGUUUAGCUUCUCCGAUAUUAUAUUCUGCCUUCCUUCUCUUUGACUUUGUGUUUCGAGACUUGGGUUGCAAAUAGCUCUCGAUCGAUCGAUCCCCGCUUAAUAGAUAAAUAAAUGAAGAGUGCAAUUAAGCUGCUAUAUAUAUGUGUGUGUCAGAUUGUGUUUGAUACUUUGAUGCAGCUAGAACUAAUUUUUCAGGUUAUUUCAUGUGAUUCUUUGUUUCUUUAGCUGAUUUGGUGCUGUUUUACUUGAAAUUAGCCGGUCUACCAUUAGAUCUAUAGGUUAACGACCUUGUGUCCAGCUCCAGCAAUUCUGUAUGGUGAAUUAAAUUAUUUAUUAAUGAGUUGCAUUAAUCC